UUAUAGGUAGCUAGCUGGGGGGGUGACCUGUUAGAUCGUGGAAUUUUGACUGUUUCUCUUGCCCCCAGAGACAAUCAUGAGGCUCAAGUUCAAUUUGCACUUGAACGUGGCAUUCCAGCAAUUCUAGGCAUUAUCUCCACUCAGCGUCUUCCUUUCCCGUCAAGUUCAUUUGAUAUGGCGCACUGCUCUAGAUGUCUUAUCCCGUGGACAGAAUUUGGUAAUUCCUUUUUUCUUUUCAUCUCUCUUUAACUGUCCAAGAUUUUUGAAUGGUUCCGCAGUAUUUGAGUGGUCAUUCUAUGUCUUGUGCAGUUAUAUUGAUUUUUGAAUGGCCGUGAUCAAUUUCCUUUUGAAGAAAGAUUGUCUAACUUGAAGCUAUUUUUCUAGGUGGAAUUUACCUGCUAGAAAUACACCGAAUCCUACGGCCUGGUGGCUUUUGGGUGCUCUCUGGACCGCCAGUAAACUAUGAAAACCGAUGGCGUGGUUGGAACACCACAGCAGAAGAACAAAAGGCUGAUUUCGACAAAUUAAAAAAAUUACUAACCAGCAUGUGCUUCAAACUCUACACAAAAAAGGACGACAUAGCGGUGUGGCAAAAAGCCACCGAUAACAGCUGCUAUGAUAAGCUCACUCCCUCUUCUUACCCUCCAAAGUGUGAUGACAGCUUGGAUCCUGACUCUGCAUGGUACACUCCAAUGCGCUCUUGCUUAGCCAUCCCAAAUCCUAAAUUCAAGAAAUUGGCCGUAAAAUCUACACCCAAAUGGCCCGAUCGGUUGCAUAUUGCUCCGGAGAGAGUUUCCGUGGUACCAGGUGGGAAUUCUGGUGGAUUUAAGCACGACGAUAGUAAAUGGAAGGUGCGGGUGAAACACUACAAGUCCUUGCUCCCUGCUCUUUGGAGUGAUAAGAUCCGAAAUGUUAUGGAUAUGAACACAUUGUACGGAGGAUUUGCAGCGGCACUCAUCAAAGAUCCUGUAUGGGUUAUGAAUGUCGUCUCUUCAUAUGGAUCGAAUUCGCUCGGCGUGGUCUAUGACAGGGGAUUAAUUGGGACCUACCAUGAUUGGUAAGCAAUAUAUUUCAAUACCAUGCAUUUUGGAAAGUUUCAUGCCAAAGUUCGUAGCCUAGAAGCCUGGCAGUUUCCAUGUUGCUAAUAUCUAAAACAGCAAUACCUUUUUGUGCUAUUAAAAAUACUCAUUUCAGUUCGUUAAGUUAUAUAGGAUGGGAUAUAUCUUAGUUGCUCAAGUCAUACAAAAUUGGACAAUGUCAUAACCUUUUAUACAAGGCCUCAUGACUAAUUGAGAACUAGCACGUUAAAAAUAAUUGCGCUUGCUAUAGUAUUUCUGUCACUUAUCUAUGAUCUUCUAUCCUUAGGUGUGAGGCAUUCUCAACGUACCCACGCACGUAUGAUCUCUUGCAUCUCGAUGGUUUGUUCACUGCUGAAAGUCACAGGUAAAUUACGCGAACCCUGCUAUCAUCUAUUGCUUCUUUGGCACAAAUUUAUGAAUGUGCAACAAAGUAACACAAAACAACCCUGGAUUGCAUUUUGGCAGAUGUGAGAUGAAAUAUGUGCUCCUUGAGAUGGAUCGAAUCCUACGUCCCAAUGGCUAUGCGAUAAUCCGUGAAUCCAGCUACUUCAUCGACUCUAUAGCAACCAUCGCCAAAGGAAUGAGAUGGGGUUGCCAGAAGCAAGACACCGAAUACAAUGUAGAUAAGGAGAAAUUGUUAAUAUGUCAGAAGAAGCUUUGGUAUGCAAAGCACAGCGACCAAUGAGAACGCAAGGCCCAACUAUGAAGGUUUCUAGAAUCCUCUCGAAGAAGUAUAGGAGUCAAAGACUAUUGGUAUUCUUGGAAUAGAGACAUUCAAUUUGGCAAAGGAAAACGGUUGCUCAUAAACCCCACAAUAUUUUUCGUAAAUUACAGGGUUCUUUUAGAUUGUGGUUACAUAUAUUCUUUACCGGAUUACAUCAGCAAGAUGAAAUUAAUUUUGUUUUUAUAUGUUUUUGUGUAGUUUCAGUCGUAUUUGUGGUCUCAAUAAGUGAAGUAUCACAGUUAAAGAGCAGGAUGUAUUUUUAGAUAAUAUCAGGUGUUAUUAUUGAUGUUAUAUAUAUCCGGCAUAAGUUUUUUUUCUUUUGUCCUUUUCAAGCAAAAGUUGAUUGUAAGCUUACAACGGAAUCAUCCAAUGGCCUCUCAAAACUGAAAAAUAGUUUUUUAAAUCAUAAGGCAUAUAUGAUUACAAUCUUUGGAUCAAGUGAGUUGUAGAUUUAGCAUCUCUCUCUCUCUCUCUCUCUCUCUCUCUCUCUCUGUGCUGGAGCAGGUGAGGGGUCAGCUGGAGGUUACAAAGAGUUUCGGUCUGAUUAUAGUAGCUAGUAGUUGGCUAGUCACGAAACUGCUAGUUUCAUUUCUUAAAAAUUAUUAUAUAGUUAAAUUUAAUAAUAUCCUAUUCUUUGUAAGAAAAUAUUAUAACUGAUUGAAUUGAUUUAAAUUAAAUAAGACAAAAAUUUAAAAAUGUGUUAAUCAACAAAACUUCAGGAUGUAAGCAUGCACAUUCCAAAGUAAAAUGUAUCUUCUACCCACACUUCAUCAAAGAUCAUUAAGUUUUUAGUUUUUAUUUGUCACAUUAACCUUUUAAUAAAAAAUUACUUAAUAUAUGGAUUUUUGGAAUGUACAAAUAAAAUUUUUUAUUUAUGAAUAGCGUGGUCUAGGAAGCCUACAAACAUUCUUAUCUUCAUCAAGUGAGUGGAUCUAAUAAGCUUGUGAACACCGUUUGGUACUUCGUUCGAGGAGACUUGCACAUCCCACCAAAGAAUAAUAAACGCCGAGAACUCCUUUGUCCCCCCCCCNCCAAACACCGCCAUGGAAAAAAUAAUAAUAAAAAAUAGUGCACCCUACUCCACUCCAAGGACCUCGGGUGGGGACUGGGGACCAGAGCGUCCGGUUCACUCACCGGUCGGCUUAAUUUUAUUCCGGUCGACAUUAUGAACCGGAAACGUGGCAUCAGCGUGUCCGCCGCAUCGCCAGCGCAGAUGGAUGGAUCGCCGUCCGUUGGACCCCACACUUGCCACCUCUUUAGUUAUCCAACCCCUCAAUCAAGAACUAAUAAAUGAGUAGCAAUGGAUCCCCCUGUCCACAGAAUAAGUGACAAAAUACUUGUGGUUGAUAUUUAAUAUUUUAAAUUUAAAUUUUAAUUAAUUAAUUUUUUAAAUUAAAUUUAUUUUUUAAAAAAAUAAAUGAAACAGAUAGUAUACUAUAUUUCUCUUUUUCAGAAAUAAAAGUAACAAUGAAAUCUCUCACUAGAAGACAAGUUUCUCUCACAUUCCCAACCAUCAAGUUCCCCAUGAGCGCCGCAGCACUUUCACAAUUUUAUAUAAAAAUAAUAUUUGCAUAUUCAAAAUUUGAAUGUAAAAUUUGGAUUUAUUUACUCACACAAUUAUGGAUUAUAUAUUGUUAAAUUUUUAGUAUUAAAAAAGUUUAAGAAUAUGAUAUGAUUAGCAUAAAAAAAACAAGUCUUUUGGAUUGAGAGCAUACAAAAUUUAGUGGAGCUGUGGCAAUUUAAAUUUGCCUACAACUAUUAUAUGUGUGAGAAAAUUAAAUUUUUUGUGCUAUACAUGUCGACAUAUUAAAGCUCCAUAAAGCCUUUUUCUAUUUUUAAGGAUUCAUUGUAAGCACUCUUUUACGCAUAUGAAAAAGAUCCUCACCCUAUAAAAGAGUAAUGUAACGCGAAUAUUUAAAGUAGCUGAUUUACCUUUUAGAGAGCUAAUUAAGAGAUUGGGAGUACAAAUCGUUGUGCGUGAAUUUCAAAAAUUUUUUUUAAAAAAUGAAUGAAGCAUUUAAUAUGCAUUUUUCCUCUCUAAAAAAAAGGGCAUUUGGUCCUCUCAAAAAAAGAAAAAAAAAAAGAAAAACAAGACCGAGUUUGAACUUCUCCCAAAAUUAAUAAUUAUCUGUUCACACGGAUAACAUUCAUAAAGACCUUUACAUAUAUAGGCACCUUUCAUGAAGUCCUAAAUAUUCUAUGUCCAUUCUAACCACAUGUUUCCAUUCUAAAUUUGACUAGCUAUUUUUAGUUUUCCUGUUAUAAAAAUUAUAAUAAUAAAUUAGCUUCUUCCAAAAAAAUUUAAAAAACCAUAAGCAGAUUUAUUUUAAUUUUUUUCUCAUUUAAUUUAUACAUCGCUUUUAGAAUAAAAUGCAAAAUUGCACAGAUUUACUAAUCUAAUAUUUAUAAACUUUUAGAUCUCACCAAAGACAAAUAAAAGUAAUUUUCACGGAAAAAAUAAGAAAAACUAAAAAACUUAUAUAAAAACAUUGACAUUAAAAGCUUUUUAUUUUAAAAUUAUCCUAAAAUCUAGGAAUCUGCAUUUCAAUUAUUAGUUUACUCACGAAGGUCCUAGUAUAAGCUCGAAAUAAGUCAUUCUCUGGGGACUGGGGAGUCAUGUAGCGAAAUAUAUAUAUAUAUAUAUAUAUAGAAAAAAAGAAAAUUCGCAUCCACACUCUAUUUUUCCGGGUGCGUCUAUAAAUACAUCAUAGCGCGGAUCCAGUUGGGUCGCGAGACGGCCUUUGCCUGCGGUAGGGGAAGCCGACGGAGGUUAUGCCCGAAGGCUAGGAGGUAUCGUCAUCCUCCGCUCCUUUUUUUUUUUGUUUUUUUUUGGUUAAUUCUUUGUAAUUAUCGUUGUUAUCUCCCUAUUUAGAUCUGUGGAUCGUAAUGAUUUUUCCGGAUCGGGGACUGGAUCCAUGGAAAAAUUAGGGUUCCGAUCUCGUGCGCUGAUCCGCGGAUCCCUAGGGUUUUGUCGUUGUCUUUCUUUUCCGGGAAAUAUGAGCUCUAGGGUUCCUGAUCGAUCCAAUGUGGAUGGAUCUGAUGUGAAUUAGGGUUUCGUUUGAUUUCUGUUUGAAUUUUGGUGUUGAAUCCGCUUUUAUUUUUGGGGGCUUUCUUGGGCUUUUUGUGAUCCCGAUCUGUGAUUUGUCGGUGAUCAAGUAGGACGAUCUCCCGAUUACUUAGUUAAUUAGUGGCAGGAUAUGGAUCUUUCGUGGUCGUAAUGCAGGAAAAAUCGUACGAUCGGAUUUUUUGUGGCGAUUCUUAUUUAAUCGCAUCCAGUGAUUGCUUUCGAUGAUAUUACACAUGGACUAGAGAAAGUAUCGUGACAUGUAUCUGUUUUUGAGCGUAAUAAGAUGAUGAUCUUCUGAUCGAUAUUUUGUGGAAAUAAUUUUUGAAAAGUGCAUUAUUGUUGCUUUAACAGAGACUAGCUGCAUUUUGUACGAUGGACCUGAAGAACUGUCUUGACCAUAAGAAAUGAGUCCAUGACAUGUUGACAUUGGGCUUUCAUCCUGUGGGCUGAUGUGCUGAUACCUUGGAUUUAGCUUUGGUCCAUGGUAUAUAUGCUCAUUUCAAUGUGGAUGGAUCUGGAUUCUGGACAAAAUAGGCUUUCUGUUGGUUCAGCUUUUGAAUCUUGAUAUUGAAUCUGCAGCAACUUUUUCUUUUGAAGAUAUUUGAAUCAAGGACUGUUUCCUGAUUAUUUGUUUAGCUGUCGUGCUAUCUCUUCCGACUUCGGCGAGCUGAAUUGGCCUGCCGAAGUCGGAACAAGGGGUUGUUUCCUUCGUUUAGAAGUGUGACAAUAUGGAUCUUUCUUGGUUUCAAUGGGAGAAUGGUCAUUUGAUGGGAUUUCUCGUGUGGAUGUUCGAGUAGUUUGAAAUGGAGUUCUUUGCAAAGAUGUCGCCAUGAUGGCUCUAGCUACAGCUGAUAUCGGUUUUUCUUGAUUAUGCUAAUAGCAUGAUUGGCUGAGGGCACUCUGUACGAAAAUGAUCUUAUAAUUGCAUUAUCUUGAAACACGGAAUCCUUGUUUACAGGAUAUUAUUUGCCAUGGUAUGGACGGAAUUGUAGAAACUAUUUUACCAUUGAUUGUUGACCAUUGCAAAAACAAAAAUAAAUAGUUAGUGAUAGCUGCUAACUGUAUACAUGACAUUGGAGAAAGCUAUUUUAUAUGACUCAAAUACAUUGUAGCAGCUCAGAUUCUGAUAUAGAAGCGAAAUAACUACAUUGGUUGACAAUCAUUACCUUCAGCUCUCUCGGGAAAGGUUUGAUUCUGAUGUUCAAAUGUAGUUAUUAUGGUUUCUCUUUUGUCACUGCUUGUUUGUGUGUCGUACACCCGUUGUCUCUCCGUAAUGAGACUGUCAAUGCUUGCUAACAGCUUUAUCUCUUUACUUUCUUUGUUAGGCUGCAAUCGUGUAGUGCAAAGCUUUUUCUUGAGAAAUGGAGAAAGCACUUCUUUCAUUGGUUUGCCUCCGCUGCCGAUUUCUAUUAUCCCAGAAAAAUCACGAUCGGCAUCUUUCAGCUUUUGGAGACUUCAGUCUUGUCCCUUUUGUCAACUAUACUUAGUUUGCAGUUGCUGUUUCAUGUCCACGAAGGACAGUCGAAUGCAGCUUUGCUUUGAAGUCGGUGUUGGAUCUAUGUCACACUUUUACAAGUAACACGUCUUGUUAUGUAUUAAAAUUUGUUAUGGAAUGUGUUAUCUGAUGUUGUGCUGAUAUUUUCAUAUCGUUUUUUUUUUUUUUUUUUUUUUUUUUUUUUUUUUUUUUUUUUUUUUUUUUUUUGCAGUGAAAUUCCAACACAGCUUCUCUUUGGGGUUAAAAUUCUAGUGCUAGACAUCAAAGAAUUAAUCUGUGGGGUAUGUUUGCUGUACUUUAUGAAAUGUAAAUUAUACAGCUGAGGAAAGCUUAUGUUCUUUCUGCACAAUUUUAACACUAUACUUGGACUGCUUUGCUUAACAGGGUUAAGUAUCUUCCGUCUGCAAGGCUCAUUUUCUCCUAGUUAGUUGGAGAGAACUGUUUUCUCUAAAUCCAUUCAGAUCGGUAUAUAUUCGAUGCGUUACUUUGGAAUCUUUGGACAAUGGAAUGUGCUCUAUAGCUCCUGAGAUUGAGAAUCGCUUGAAUUUCUAGCGGUUGUGCAGGCAGUAAAUAUCUUGUGUUUGAUCAGGCUGACUUAUCUCUAAUUGUACCUCUGUUAAUUUGGAAAAUAAUUUGAGCUUCAGUCCAGAUGGUAUUACAAGAUCUGGAUUUAUAUAGAGCCGUCAGAUUCCAGUGCUUCAGUUCGAUUGGUUGCAAAAUAUGCUUUUGCAGGCUCAGGAGAUAGACUCCUCAGGGGCAUAUUGCUGGUAGCAAUAUUGAUUCCUGAAGCUUGUCCAAAAUUUUCCUACAAUAAGCAGAAGUUCCUUUUGUUAAUCACAAAGAGAUUUUCAGAUUCUUCAAAUCUCUAUGUAGGAAGUAUUUUGCUUUAUAAGAAUAAGGUGUACAUCGGAGUUGCGGAAUAAGGAUGGACAGGUGAGAUGCUUUGAAUGAUUUUUGUCUUGUGUGAUUUAUGACAUUUUUCUCAAGUUGUUUCUUCUAAUCACAGAUACAAGGUAAUUAAGGAAGUUGGAGAUGGAACUUUUGGGAGUGUUUGGCGUGCUAUAAAUAAACAAACUGGCGAAGUGGUAUGUUAUUUGUGAUGGUUUUCAAUGAAUAUCAUGCUUGUUGGCAGUAACUAGAAAAUACAUUUUCACUAUGUUAUUCAAUCACAUUUGAAGGAAAUUCUUAAUAAUGGUAGGUUGCUAUUAAGAAAAUGAAGAGAAAGUAUUUUUCUUGGGAGGAAUGUGUUAAUCUUCGUGAAGUGAAGGUGAGUAGAUGGUUGAAAUGGUUGACAUUUUACUGUUACACUCGUCCAAGUCCUUUUUCUGAGUUUUAUUUUUUGUGUGAAGUCGCUACGACGGAUGAACCAUCCAAACAUUGUGAAACUCAAGGAGAUCAUAAGAGAGAACAAUAUAUUAUACAUUGUAUUUGAAUACAUGGUAUGGUUUCAUUAUGUAUUUGGAGUUAAAUAAUCAGUUCCUAGACUAUCUGACAGCCUAAACUUCGUUUCUUAAUUAUUCAGGAGUGCAAUCUUUACCAGCUUAUGAAAGAUAGAGGCAAGGUGUUUUCUGAGGUUGAAGUCCGUAAUUGGUGCUUUCAGAUAUUUCAGGGCCUUGCUUACAUGCACCAACGGGGCUAUUUUCACCGUGACCUUAAGCCUGGUAACUGCUUCCUUAGUGUUGUAAAUUUGUUGUUUGGGUAAUAGUUUGCACUUCAUGUUAUAUCUUAUUAUCUGUUUGGACUCGGAUAUUUGUCAAUAUCGUUUGAGGUUCCCAUAAUGGGUAAAUUCCAUGUGCUUUUUUUUUUUUUUAACUGACACCAUCCUACAGUUGGCUGGUCUUUAUGCUUUUGUUACUCUUUUUCAUGACUAGUUGCAUUCUUAUCUCCUUUGGAUGUUGUAAAUAAAAUCUGUACGACCUAUACCUCUGAUUUUGUGCUUUCAGUUUGUCACACUGCCCGAUUGUUGGUUAGUAGCGAUUUUCAAUAUUUAUGCACCAACAAAAUUUCAGUACUGGUUAUAGGAAACCCUUGGUUAUAUUUUUAAACUAUCUGAUAUUUAAGUAUUGCCCAUGACAAUACUGCUUAUGUUUACGAAAGUAUUUUUUGCAAAUUUUUCUUUAGAGAACUUGUUGGUUAGCAAGGAAGUCAUAAAGAUUGCAGACUUUGGACUUGCUCGGGAAGUUUCUUCAGAUCCGCCGUACACAGAAUAUGUCUCGACACGGUGGUGAGUACACACUUUUGUCAUCUUUUUAUUCAUUUCCAAAUUUAUUGAAUUUUCAUUUGCAUAGAGAUUUUAUUGGCUUUAAGCUUUGUUUGACUCAUUGGUCUUGUGAGGCUUUUAAGAAUAGGAAUCCCUAAAUUGAAAGCUGUCAUCUUUUUCCUUGUCUAGAACUGUUUCUGCCUAAUUAGCAACAAAGAAUGUAGACUACCAUAACCGACCCCCUGUUCGGAAAUUUGGCACAAAUUUAGUUGUUGAGAUUCUGUUGGCUAGUUGUAAAAGUUUUGGGAAAAGGCUUGAGAUGAUGAUAUGUUUGAAAUCUUUCAGGUAUCGAGCUCCUGAAGUCUUGCUUCAAUCUUCCAUUUAUGACUCUGCUGUUGGUAAGUGAUAAUUAAAUUUUGUGCUCAGUGGUAGGGUUAGACUAAUGUACCAAUCAUUAGCAUUUAUGGUUAUUAUGUUUUGUGCCAUGUUGCAGAUAUGUGGGCAAUGGGUGCAAUCAUGGCUGAGCUGUUCACUCUCCGUCCUCUUUUUCCUGGUUCAAAGUACACACAAGACCACACCAUUUUUUUUAUAGCUAAAUUAAAUGCCCCUUUUCUUUUGUUUUGUGUGCCAAUAAAGAAAAACUGACAAUGAAAAUUUCAGGCUUUGUAUGAUGUUGUUGCCAUCUUUUUUAUUUCAAAACAAAAUGUAGUUGCUUAUAAUCUAUACGCCUAUGGGUUGUUUGGCUACAACAAACAAAGACUUAGUUGUUACUAUUUUCACUUCUUUAUUUUUUGAAGAUGUUUUCAGCAUCCGACCAGGUUGUGUUGGAACCCUAACAAACUAUGACAAGAAUAGGGAAGUCCUUCUCAAGCCCAUUCAACUACAUAAGAUUUCUGCUUAAUAAAAAAAAAUGAAAAAAUUACCAAACUUUCAAAGUUUGUUCAUAUACUGGGCUAGCUAAUUGGUAGCGAAGCAUGAGGAGCUAAAGCAAAACAAGAUUAGUCCCAACAAUUCCAGUAAAACCCUUGCGGUAUACUUUUAGAAGUAUAGCACCUUAGUUUUCUAGUUAGACGAAGUUUUUUUUUCCUUUUUUAUUUUUCCAUCUUUUUAUUUUUUCCUUUUUUUUUAUUUUUCCAAAAUUGCAGUUGCUUAUGUGUUACUUGAUCUCAUAGUUUGUGUGAGUUUCUUGUACAUGCGCUAGCAACAUCAGCAUAGAUAAUCUGUGAAUUGAUAUUGUUACUUUCCUAGGAGUGGGAUUAGUGAUUUAUUGCUGAUUAUGCUACUUCUAAUCCUGUCAUGCUUUAUUGUAUUCCUGCAAUGAGGAUCUUAUUUGUUGAAUUGAUAUUUGUUCCUUCAGUGAAGUGGAUGAGAUUUACAAAAUCUGCACUGUCAUUGGAACUCCAGAUGUAAAUUCAUGGACUAAAGGAUUGCGACUUGCAGAUGCCAUGAAGUAUCAGUUCCCACAGGUAAUUAUCGCCCCCGGAUUUAGCAUAUUGGAAUUUAUAGUUUGUUGUAGGUAUUUUUAUUUUCAAUAGCUAAUUGAUAUAGAUAAGUACAUGUGAUUGGGUUGUUUUGUGUUAUCCUGGACUGCUUAUCAUGCAUAUAUCUUGUUCAUUGAGGAUUGACAUCUAGAGCCGGUAUGUUUUUGAGCAAUACAGAUUGUCUCAUGGCCAUUUAGCACAAACAAUUUUUUUAUGAGAAAAUAUAGAAGGAAAAUAUUUGACUCCUGCUUGACACAUACAAUGAAAGAGAAACAGCUUGAUAUGGAUGCCCAAAUACCGCAGGCCUUCACUUCGAAAAUUGUCUGUUUUCCAACUCAGCUGCCCAGCUUUGAGCCAUUGAAAUAUUUGAAAUUAUAUAGUACAUUUAAUAUUUAAGUGCUAAAAAGUUUCUAUGCAUCGUCAUUCUAUGGUGUAAGAAAUUAUUACCAAUGAUUUUUAGUUUAUGCUUUCUCCAUUUGAUGUGCAGUUAUUAGCUGACUCUAUUAUAUUCUAUGGUGUAAUUUCUUGUGUAUUUAUAAUUGGAAUUUUACAAAGUUGGUAUGGAUAUUCAUUUUAAUGCAGUCUGAUGGUACCGAUCUUUCAGCACUAAUCCCGUCUGCUAGUGUGAAUGCAAUUGACCUUAUUUCGGUAAGUGGUAUUAUUGUGAAUUCUGUUGAGGCCGUGCUAUUCUUUUCAUAUGGAAUAUGAACCACGUUUACCCACCAAUAUUGAUGCCUACAUACAUGUGGCAGUCACUUUGCUCCUGGGAUCCCUGCAAGAGACCAAAAGCAGCAGAAGUCCUCCAGCAUGCUUUCUUUCAGGUGGGAUCUCAUUACAAUGUUCAUCAUCCCUUUUUUCAUUUAAGAUAUUAACAAAUAUAUACAUCCAAUAUUAUCUGAUUACAGGUGUAACACUGCAAAAUCUAAGUAUUCAUAUAUGCCCUUAAAAAGCUGAUUUCUUACAUAUUUAUAUCCUUGUACAUAAAAAAAAAAUCCCCUACUUGAAAAACUAAAUCAAAUACAAAACAAACUUUUUCCCAUGAGUUGGAUGACCGUUCAUCUUAAGAAUGUAUUUUGUUAGAAAUGUAUCUUCUAGUGGUAAAUGAUAAAUUUCAGGUAGGAUGUCUUGGGUUCUUUUUCGGAAAAUUGACUUCAGUUGGUUCCAAAUCUUGCUCUCAGAGAAGAACCCAAGAAAGAAAAAACAAAUCUUAAAUAUUUCAGAUAGAUCUUUUUAUCCUAUUGUGGUUUGUCACUAUCCUUUUCUUUUUCUUUGUUUUUGUCUUUUUCCUUGAUUUGGCAGCCGUGUUUCUAUGUUCCACCCUCCCUUCGUCCAAAAGUACCCGGAGUUCUUAGGACACCCCCAUCUGGUUUGUUUUCUGUCCAUCUUCCUUCUGAUGUUUAUUAUUGAUGAAUGGACAUUGAACACGCACAUACCUUAUUAUGUUGUUGUUCAUUUUAUUUAGUGGGGCUAAAAGGAGCUUCGGAGCCAAAAAGUGGUCGAAGAUAUUCUACAGGAGCUCUGUCUGGAUUGAAACCUGCUAGUGAUUCUGUGACGCUGAAGUCAAAUGGUUCUUCGAGGAUAGGUAAUUGUUUUGGAACUAAGGUGUUUUAGUUUCAAAAUACUUAGUUUGCGAUAGGUUAUGCUAAUGUGGCUUAAUAUAUAUAUAUAUAUAUAUAUAUAUAUAUAUAUAUAUAUAUAUAUAUAUAUAUAUAUAUAUCUUCAUUAUAGGUGUGCAAAGGAAAUUGGAGAUGGAGCGUCAAGUAAGCUACACAAAUUCUUUUUUCUCCUCUUUUUUUUUUUUUCUAAUUUAUUUAUGUGGCUGAUUGUAUAAAACUUGUUUUUAACGUUUUAAGCUACAGGUUGCAGAGAAAAGUGACAAGACCAUGAAAAAGGACACGAAGCAGUCUCGUCAAAAACCAGCAGCAAAAAACAACGCAGGCAAGUUUGUUGUUCUUCACAAUUUUACCCCUCAAUUCUUCAUUUAUGACACUCUUUAGUCCCACCUCUGCUCUCAGCUUUUAGUUGUUUGUCAGCAUGACGAGUGAAUUAAGGUCUAACAUUUUGACGUUCAUUUGGCUUUUGAGAUAGCAGGAUAUUUGGGGAGAAGUUCGAGAAGAGUUGCUGAUGUUCCUGUGGGAGCAACCUCCGGCACCGUUUCGAAUAUGACGGAUAAGCUGUCACGGAUGUCGCUGAUCUCAGGCCCGCAGCAGAGUGUGAGGCAGGCACCACCACUGCCGUCAUUGAAGGCUGGGGGCUGUUACAGCCAGGCCGACUUACUAGCGGGGACCAAUGAGAUGAUCCCUUCUGGUAGAAGAUACACUAGAAAGGUCGCCGGCUGAAGAGGGUAAAAAAUGCCUUUUGCCUUAACUAGGUGAUGUGAUGUAUGGGGUGGGUUACUUUACCGGUGGGUCAUUUGAUGCUUGCUAGUGUGCUUUUUGCCAUUUGAGUGCUGGUUUGAGGUUGUUGAUUACGCCUGCUUUCUUUUCACUAACAGCUGAAUAAAACAUGUGUUCACCAUUCUUUUCGUUUUUUAUUUUUGUCUUGUGUAUUUAUUGAAACUAGAAUUGUGGUAAAAGCUGAAGAAUUGAUGAAUCCUGAUUACUUUCCCAUUGACUUUGACUUGGUGACAAUUACAGCGGCAUCCUCCCGUCUGGUCCCAUAUGCAACGUGUUAAGGCUAGCUCAUAUAUGACUGCAUCGUACGUUCACAAAUCAGCCAGCAUAGUGACGACAACUAGUUGAUGGUAUUGACGACAACAAGCCAAAAAAAGAAUACAUCACUUUUGCAAAUGCUAUUAUUCAUGCUCUAUCCAGCCCAAGCUGAGAGCAAACUCUUUAUGGGUUACUUCUGGCAACUAUGUAUUCAGCAAAAAUUAAAGCUAAAGAAAAUAGUUUUGAAGCAACGGGCUCAAGUUCAUUACGUAGAUGGAGAGAAUCCAAUAGCUGGUCCCUGAAGCUAAAAAUAACAAAACAAUACAAAACAAAAGAAAACGCUUAAUCAGCCAAUAUUAUUGUCGCAAAAAAUAUGAUGCCGUGCAAGUUUGAAAUGCCAUAUAUGGUGACAAGGAGUCCACGGAACUUCUAUGUGCCUUUAUCAGUGGGGAAUGAACUAUCAACUUCUUUAAAAUUAUACACUAGGAAUUUAAGAUUGUUGAAAAACAAAAAUAUCACACAACUGCUUACUUAAUUUUCCCCAAAUAUGAUCUUUGCCAUAUAUACCUCAACGAAAGUUGCAAAGGAUCGUGCUACCUUGCAAUUGUUUUAAGCUAAGCAUAUCUAACUAGUGGUAGGUUUCCUCAUUACGAUUCCCAACCAGAAAACUAGAUAAAAUGUUUUUAAUAACAAAUAACCAUCUAAAAUAUAUUUCUAGCACACCGGCACAAUAAUAUUUAAAGAAGAGAACAUGGACAAUGAACAGGAAAUGCCUCUAUUGCAAACGCCAAACAUGUGUGCAGCGAAUUUAAAAGAUAGAAAUAGCAAAAUGCCUCAUUAUUCUUGAAACAAGCAUGAAGGUACUUGCCUUAAAUUGCCCGGCUAAACUGGAGUUGCAGGGAUGUUAUAACGGGUUCUCAAGCUAUCAAUUGCUUUCUCCAUGGACUGUGAAAGCUCAGAAAUGGACGCCUUGCACACUAAUUGCUCAAAUUAGAAAUAAGGAAGUCAAAAUAAUGUGAAGAACACAUUACUAAAUAACAAAAGGCAGUCUUGUUCCUUUUUCGGUUGGAGUAUAGUAAUGAAUCAGUAGAAAUCAGGGUUAAGUUUCCUGUCUUUUAAAUCUCCUUAGAAGUUCAAAAAGAAAAAAAAUCCAAGUUCAUACAGAGAUCAUCACAAUCACUUAGUAGUUCUUGCUCUGAUCUUUAACUAAAACGAAAGGUACAGUUCAAAGGUUCCUUCUGAACUGCAGAUAUUAUAGUCCACUAAGCAGCCAAAUAAUCCAAUAGUCCAAAUAAACUCUAAAGUACUGUUACUUAGGAAAGCAUUUUUUUCAGGACUGUAAUACCAUCGUAACUCAAAAUGCUUCAUAAUUUCAUUAUCUGGUUACCGUGCUACUUGAUGAAAAAAAAAAAUUGCCAAGCACAAAUAAGGGAACGAAGUUUCUGAGUUCAUGUCCUAUACCACGAGAUGCAGUUGACUGUGCUUCUGCCAUAAACUCCACAUACGAGGCCUGAAAAGAAAGAAAACAUGAGAUUAAAAUGAAAACAAAAGGAAGAAUCACUGAGGGAAGCCCCUCACCUUUAUGAGUUCUGAAUUUUCCUUGAUCCUAUCGGACAACUUUUUGUACUCCUUGUCAACUUCCUCGGUAAGCUGCAAACAAGCCUGUGUUUGGAUCUGCAGCAGAAAAUAGAUCUUACAAAGCGAUCAUAGAAAGCAUGAAGAAGUAUGGUCCAAAAAUCCAAAAAAACUAGUAAUGAAAGUAUUAACAAGUUUGUUGUCAUUCAGGUAGAGUAUGUAUGUUCUUCUAUAAUCUUCCUAUCUCAGAUAAGCCAGAUAAAUGAGAACAAAUCUCCUACUAAAAUUGUACUGCAAGUGGGAACUUACUGAGAUCAUGCUGGAUCCGUUACAGUUUAAUAGAGAGAGAUAUAUCAUUCAUCUUCAUUUAUAUAGACCAAUCACAAUUCCUCAUGCAGCUAGGUGAUGAAUCAAUAGGCGUACCCGUAAUAUAAUGUCAGAGCACCCACAUAAUGGAGGAUAUUAAGUUAGAGGAGAUCAGAGACUUCAAAAGUGAGGUCAUAUGCAUCUAUCAUUAGACAGAGCACAAUGUAUCCAAUUCCUCGAGCUAAUCCCCCCUUAGAAGUUAAGCUGCAGAUAAUUUUAGACAAACUUGAUCUAAAUGCAUCAAACAUAGAUUAAACAAGAUUCCAUCACAAUCACUUCACAAAAGCACGUCCCGUAGCAAAAUUAACAAGAAAAGCACAAAUAUAACUGAGAAUUCGAGAUGGCUCACGAACAUAAUUUCUGAUCCGAGUCUUAUAUAGAUCCAUAACAUCACAAUCGCAGCCAAGCCAAAUCGCGUGAAUUAGAGAGCAGAGAGAAGCGAGAUCACCUUGCAUCGCUUGGAGAUUCUGUUGUGGGACGCGUCGAACUCCUUGGUGAUCGCUGAGUGGCACAGAUCGAGCUCCCGCUUCACGGAAUCCAAGCGGGAUGCAGCGAGGCUCCUGAGAUCGGCGAUGGAGGCGAGAGUUUUGGGCGGAGUGGAGGGGAGGGAGCCGGGAGUUAGGGUUUUGCUGGACGUCACCUUCUUGUUGGAGGAGGCCGAGGCGAGGAAGGUGAGGUCGAAGGAGGAGGGGGCGUAGGGUUUGGAGGAGCGGUUGGGGGUGGGGGUGGAAGGGGUGGGGAGAGGGGACAGGAAGGGUUUCGCCCUCGAUUUCGCCCUCGAUGCGGUUGAUGCCGCGGCUCUCUUCUUCAUGGCGAUUGAAGAGAAAGGAGAAGGAGAAGGAGAGGAAGAGGAAGAGGAAGUGUGAUCGGUGAAUGAUUCGAUUGCGCGCCUCGUUUUUUAUAGUGGCGGGAUCAUGGUGAGAUUAUCAGCAUUUGAAUUUCAAACUUGUAGAUGUCCUCGCUCGUUAGUCGUUAGGUUAAAUUUUUGUUUCAUCUGUCACGGCAUUUUUUAUGCGUAUAUGUUAGAGAGUCCGCAUAGAGAAAUUAAUUGCUCCUUAAAGUCCAAUCUCUUUCGUUCUUAUGUUGCUGUGCUGAAUAUAUUCUAUCUUUCUGUUUUUCCUCGUGAGAUGAUUUUAACAUUUCUUUUGUGAGAUUAUCAGAACAAAUAAACUCCUCUUCUUUUUCUUCCCUUUUUUUUUUUUUUUUUCCUUCUUCGUGCGGAGGGUUUUGUGAAUAUUCAGGCUAACAUACUCGAAAAGUUGCACCCUGCCGUGGCUUUUUUUCCUACUCGGGGCCCUAUCACGCUAACAACAUACGUAGAACUUAACCAGAACCCAAAACUGUUCCAUAAGGAUUCAUUCAUCAUUAAAUUAAUGCAUAAUAAUCCACACGUACAAAAAAAUAUUCAUGCCACUGUUGAUGGCAACUGAUUACUCAUAUAGAACCUCCAUCAAGCACCAAAGUUUGUUUACUAUAUGUAACAAAACUUCACGAAAGAAAGGCUGAAGGGUGACAAAGGAGAGAAAUCCGGAUCAAAGCACAUAUAAAACGACCGUUGAAAAGAGCAAAAAAUAUUAAUGAAAAGAUACAAAAUUGGUGAACCCAAUCGAUACACGUGCAAAGAAUACAUAACACGCACGCAAAACAUCUUGAAGAGCCAAAAUCUUUCCUUGUACAUGAAUGGUUACAAAAGGGAUUCACUAAAUAAGGGGAGAAAAAUGGUAUUUAAAUAAAUCCUACUGUAUAAGUUUGCCUGGAAAGAAUGAUCAGAUGCAUGACUCUUAAUAGCGAUUUCCAUUACUUUUGGAGUGAAUCAAAAUAAUAUCUCCUUGAGGAUUAGCAGGACCAGCAUGACAAAACACAUUAUGACUAGUACCGUAGCACACGUAACCAUCCCUCCUUUCUUCUGUGUCCUCUCCGCCUGUUUGAUAAACCGGAGAACAGGGAAAAGGACAUGGGCCUUAGAAAUAAAUAGAUAAACUUCAACAAAUGAUAAGAGACAUCUAAAGAAAACAAUUUAGAGUGGGAAACCUUCUGUAACUGCUUAUACCCCUCUUCGACCGUGGCAGCAACAUUCUGUAUAUUAUAAUCUAUCCGAUCGAUGAUAGUUCCCUGGUAAAGAAGUUCUUAAGAAUACCAUGCCAAUGCUUUAGGAACAAACAGCUUAUUUCACUCAAAUUAAAUGUAAUUGAUACCUGGUCUAUUACAAGGACAGAUAGAUCCUUCAUAAUCUGAGCAAGCUCAUUCACCGAUUCGACAAUCUAUAUGCACAACAUACGUGCUUAAGUUAGAAUAGCUCUAAAUGGCAGACACAUAAAUUGGCUGAUAGACUGGGGAUUGUAUAAUAUUUACCUGUGUGAUCUCUUUCUCUCUUUCUUUUGUAAACACCUCACUUUUUUUCAAUUGAGACAACUGAUGAUCAUCAAAACCCUGAAAAAUGGACAAAGGAGCUACAGAGAAUGAAAUAGCUGGACAAACACAAAUUAGAUUUACAGAUAGGUACUUCAUAUCAGUAAUGGGUAAACAUUGCUUGUGCCAAAAGAAGAGCAGAUGCAUGUAGUAAACAAAAUGUAGUAUGGCUUCCAACAUUGAAAAAUAUUGACCACAAGUUAAAGCUAAGAAUGUCUGGGCAACAAAUCUAAAUGUGCGCUAGCCGCAUUAAAAUCACCAACAUGGCUAUCUGUCCAUGUGAGAUUAUGUAUUUGAAUAGAAUUAUGCAUCGAAUGCAUGACAACAAUGAAACUAAACUCAGGCAUAAUGUGCAACCUCAGUCACAGUUGCCCUACGUAGAAUCUAUCUGUCAAUUUAAUGCCGACCCAAUCUACCGAAUCAUCAGUAGUAGAAUGUCAGACUUGGUGACAUUGAUGAUCGACAUCAAAUCUACUGAAUCAACUGUAGUAGACUGCCAGGGGAUAGAAAAAAAGAGCUCACCAAGUCUGGCGACUUGGUCAAAUUAAAGAGCUGCUUAUGUGGUUGGUGGUGUGGGGGUGUCUGGGUGGUUUGUGUCGGAGCUACCAAUUUGCUAAGCAAAAGGUAAAUAUGUGGGGUAGAACAGGAAACCUGCUUCCUUCUAGUUCUAUCCUCUACAUAGGUUGUUUCCAAGCAACUAACAUAGAUGAUGGAAUAAACCUAAGCUAAGCAACUCAAAUUGACCUUUUAAAACAAUAGUUAACAAGACCAUACCCCAUCAGCAAAGUCAUCGUCUUCAGAAGUAGAUCGAGCUCCAUUUAUCUUUAUCUCCAAGUCUACACCAUCCUGGCCCUGAAAGUAUGAUGACAGAUAGAGAACCAGAAGAAAGCAAGAUGAGAUCAUGAUUUUGACUAAUCGAAAUUCACAGUACCUCUUUUUGCUGCUGCAGCCGUUUUAAAUAAGUAGACUGCUUCUUACGGAACUCCAUUGACAGGUUUUGAAGAUCAGUUGCAAGUGAACGCUGCAGGAGAAAAUGUUCCUCUGUCAUGCUGAAGACUAACAAAAUACAAUUAUACCCAAAGAAACAAAAGAUUGCUUAAAGCAGAAGCGCUCUUUGCGUUUGCUUCUGCUUGCUGACUCAUCUCGAUGAAAAGAUAACUAUUUUAUUGCGUUUGAUGCUGCUUGAUUCUGCUUGCACAGGAUGACAAUGUACCUUCUAAUUUUUAAAUAGGAUUUUCGGUCUGCAGAAAUCGAGACACACUCUAGUUACAUGGCAAUGUAUAUUAAAUUUACUAUCACAUUACAUUAAUACCUGAACAUUUUUCCGAACAUUUGAAUCUUCACAUGACACAGUGGAAGAGAGCUUCAUUAAUCUUUUCUCAGACUUCUUUAGUAGAUCUGUUAUUUCCCGAGUAAGCAUCUCGAUUGCACGUUGCUCCUUUUUUCCAUCUCCAAAAGAAGGCAUUAAAGCCUUUUCAUGAACCUUUACUAACUCUACCAAUUUUUUUCGUGCAUUUUGUAUAUUUACAGAUAUUUCUUCCGAUACAUCUACCCAAGCUGGAGGUAGACCAAUGGUAAGCGGACCUUUACUGAAACAAAGAGACCACACAUUACACCGCAGGCAGGAACAAAACAAUCAAACAGUUUCACAGUCAAACUACUGCAAAUAUCAUGUUCUCCCUGCAUAUUUGUUCGCACUAUGGUACCCAAACUACUGCAAACAUCCCAAAUUGAGUAUGCGAAAGACAAAGCCAACGUUGAGGACCCAAAAUUGUCUAUACAACAAUCUAGCAGGCAGAAUAUAACACUAACUCCAAAAUGUCUCAGAAUUGCAAUUACGAGUAUUAACCAUAUCAAAACUAAAAUUAGACUCAGUACAUAUGAGACUGGCCAGCCACUUUUAUAUCUAAUUAUAGUAACCUGCCAAUUUUAUAUUCAAUCAUAGUAAUUAGUUGGCAAAGUAAAGCUCAAUUUUCUCAGCUUCUUAUUGAGGUAAGUAUUUGCUUUCUUGGACCGGAAAAAAAAAAAAGGAAAAAACCCAAAAUCCUCCAGUGGAUCUCUGUCUCAAGAAUUUCCAGUUUAACAACUAAUACGAGCAAAACAACAUCAUCGUGAACAGGAGAAACGUAGAGAGAGCCAUCCGCACCUCGAAUUACCAGGAUCUUCCGUGCUGAGAGGAGUAUACGACCGAUUCGGAUGGAGAAGCGAGGUGCUCACCAUCUCCACCGCCGCACCACCGCCCGAAGCCGACGUAGAAGGCCCCCGACGCGAAGAAGACGAUGCCGACGGCACCCGAACGCUCCGGAGGGCGUCCCGAUACUUCCGAUACAACGGAGUCCGGUUCCUCGUCGCCAUGGCACAAAGAUCUCCACUACGCUACACACCUCUCUCAGAUUCGCCAAUGUGGCUCGCGAUCUACACGACAUUGACCGAUCUAAGAGAUCGGGAGCGAGAAGAGGGAGUAAAAGAGAUGAAUCGAUCCAAAUGGAGGACGAAACCUCUGGGGAACGAGCUCCGGCGAUCCAUCGCCGGAUGAGGGAGGAGGAGGCGGCGGCGGAUCCGAAGAUUCCGGCCAGGUUACGGGGGGUGGGGGCGGAGAUCCGGAUCGGUAUCCGCCGCGGAGAGAGGAGAGGUUGGUGUAUGGAAUGGGGUUUCUCUAGAGUGCGAUGAGGAGGGAAAUACUCUCGUAGGUGUUCGACUCGGGAGAGAGGUGGGGCUCGGGAGGGUACGUCGGCGAUGGAAUGCGACGAUGAGAUCUUCUUGUUCGUUGUAACCAGUACUUAUGAGGUUGUUUUACUCGGUAUGGUUUGUUACUGUUGUGUCGCUACGUACCAAGUUUUAGUUACGUUUUCGCUUCCUGUUAUCGUAAUAUGCCUAACAUUUUAACUCCGUUACUAUAAAUUCGCAAUUUUGAGCCUACUUAAUUUAUAGUAUAGCUUAUGUGCCCUGCACUUGAUUUGCCUGAGAAAUAAGUAUUUUUUUUUUUUUUUUUGAGAGAUAAGUAAUACGCUAUACGCUUCGUUUAUUUUAUUUAAAAAUAAACUUAACCGUAAAUGUGAAACAAGUAAAUAUUACUAGUAGCCAGCGGUCGUUUGGCAUUGUUUACUAUUCCAUCUCAAGGAUGGUUUAUAUUCUAGUCUAAAAUGAUUGCUUGGUCUCCUUUCUAUAAACUCUGUUUAUUAAUCAAACGAUCUAAGUAAUAUUGAAAAAAAAAAAAAACUAAUUAAAUUUAGAUCAAGGAUGUCCAGAUGAUUCAUUUGGUCACAUUUUCUGCAAUACCGGAGUAUCACAAAUAUAUAAUCAUGAUAAAGGUUAUAGUUCUCACAAAAAGAGGAAAAUGCUUCUUUUAAGUAGCUGUAAAAAUAAAUCUGAAAAUAUUUUCCAAUUACUCAUGCCUCCAAUAAGCGAUAAUAGUUGUUUAAACUUUUAAACAUAUAAUGUGCCCAAAAAUGGUAAAUGUAAUGGACAACAGACAAAAGCUUCACAAGACUAUCUUUCUCAUCCGCCUCUGAAGUCUGAACUCUGUAAACACAAUGAACAGACAAUCUGAUCACAUUCUCAAAAUACAUCCAAGAUAGAAACCCCCCCCCCCCCCCCCCCCAAAAAAAAAAAUCUCUGAAGUCUCAUCUACACAAGAGACCCAAAAAAAAAAAGAAGAAAAAAGAAAAAAAAAAUGUUGUUACAAUGAGGGAAGAAAACUACGCAGCAACGUCCGCUGGAAGCCCCAUCUGCAUGAACCCAUUCCCUCUAUCCUCGCUGCCGCACUGAGCUGCGGCCUCCUCAGCGUGCAAUCUCCUCAGGUCGGGGUGCCCAUAACGUGCCGCUGCGAUCGCAUACGACCCGAGCACGAAAACAAAGACAAGGAACACAAGCGAGAAGAGCUGGAAAUUGGCGAGGAGCUCACCGCGCACUUGGCUCUCGUGCGAGUGGCACGCAAUGCUUCCGUCAUCGAGGUGGCAGCCGCGCGGCAUCAUGGGCCCGUAGAGGGUGAAGGCCGUCUGGUAGAACCAGAGGCCCUGAAGAGUGACAAGGAUGCCGCACGCGAGGUCGAGGGCGAAGAUGGUGGGGAAGAGGGCGCCAGCGACGGCGGUGACGAUGCAGAAGCCGAUGAGUAUGACGAGGAGGAGGUGAUAGUAGCCCUCAAGGCCUUUGUGCGUCGUCGAGUGAAAGUAAAAGAGCAGAAACUCUGCGCUGAAUGCGGCGGCGGCGAUCAAGCACAGCGUACCCUCCGGCAAAGGUAGGAACCUGAGGCACUAAAUUUCACCCAAGUCAUUUGCUGCAAUUAGUAUCAAACUUCAUGUUUUCUUUUGAUUAGUUUAUCUUUUUGAAUUUCAUUAAUUUUCCUAACGUGAAAGUUUCGAUUAAAUUAUCAUGUCAUCACAUGCCAAUGAGACUAACUGAUCCAGUUAUCAUUUCAUCGUCACAAUUGUAUUGCUCAAAUCAAGCGAUGUAAUGGAUGGAAAAUCUAGAUCGAGCCCGAAUUCCGGACAAUAGAGUAGCCGAGGUUCAACCCAUGAACUACGAUCAAACUUUCUAACUAGAAUACACACCCGGAACUAUGACCAAUCAGCUACAAGCCAUAAUACCUGAGAAAUGGUGGUCCAUGUACUGAACAACUAAAAAUUUCUACAAUAGCCAAGAUCACGAAGUCAAAAUCAAGUUAACUUAACAAGCUCCAAGAGCGAAAUCUCUUAAAGGGAAUUUCGUGAAAAGAAACCAGAUAACUCUAUGCUAACAGUAAUUAUGAAGAAUCUCUGGAUCAAACAGGCCUGGGACGUCUAAUUCUUUUUCUAGCAUAGCCAAAAUAGGCUCGGCAUAAGCUUACUUUGCUGAAGCUGCAAAUGGGCCCCAAAGAGGACCUAAUCUAAUCUAAUCUAAUCUAAUCUAAUACGAAAGAAGGGCCCCAGCAUGCACAGCAUCAAGCCACGUGGCAUUUUCUUAGAAACAAAGCAUCGAUUUCUCUUUUCUACGGCAUACUUGGCAGCCGCAGGUGAACUUUCCAUUCAAAAGUCGCAUGUCGAAGUUUCAAAGGUCUAAAAAGGCGACGUUCUAACCGACAAAUCAGCUCCCGAGCUGGUUUUCCAUGUGUUUCUCUUCUAAAAAUAAAAUUUUAAAAAUGGUAAAAAUGGAUACGACCCUCAAUUUACAUGUAAUUUUAAAAAUAGACCCCAACCUUUGUUUCUCUUUCUUCCUUCUAAAAAUAAAAUUAAUGACUCUAUCAGCUAUUGGCCAAAAUUUGUUACCAAAAUCUCCCAUUUUUUGCCAGAUAAUAAACUUUGAGGAUAAGAAAUAACUUACAUUAAAACAAACAAACUUUGAGGAUUUGUCCUUCAUUUAGGAUUAAAAAAACAAAAACAACUUUCAUUAGGGGAUAUCUACUGCAAAACGUCCUACAGUUGAGGGACCUUCAUGCAUUUUUCUUUUAUCCCAAAAAGAAAAAAGAAAAAAGAAGAGAUCACUGACCUGGUUUUCUCGGAUAGGAGAGCGACGGCCCCGAAGAGGAAGAACAUGAGGAGCAUCCCCCCGUGCUCGAAGUCGUUCAUAUGGGCCGGGUUGAGGACCCGCUCCGGCCCGACGAAGAUGUGGAGGUGGGUGGAGUAGAGCAGCUCCACGCACAUGUCGAGGAACGCUCCCCCGGCCACAACGUACAGUUCCAGGCACCGGGCCCGGCCCCCGAACCAGCCCACCGGGCGCCAGGCCCGAACCCGAAACGAACCCGGAUCCGUCACGUACCGGCCCACCGCCGCCCACACUUGCCACAGCCCCACCGCCAGGAACAGGCUCCCCGGGAGCACGUGACCCUUGAACGACCCCAUCGCGAGCACGUGACCAGUGCCCCUCCCUCCGCCCCUUCCCUAAUUGCCCUCUGAUUUUUUUCUAAUUACCGCUCCACCACCACACCGCCGUUGACUUUCCUACGCCCUCUCUCUCUCUCUCUCUCUCUCUCUCUCUCUCUCGCUCUCGUGCUGGUUCGUCUUCCUCCACACGUUUCCGCCGUACCUUUAAAUAUUUUAAUUCAUAAAUAAAAAGAAAAAUAAAUGGGAAAAAAAAUAAAGAACACUGUUCACUAUUUUCUUUUUUUUUUUUUAAAAAAAGAAGGAAUCCAAAUAGAUACUUCAGUUAAAACUUCAGAUCGGAGACGUUGAGUAUUUUGAUCUGUUUUAUGAUUCGAAAGAUUUUUUGAAAAAAAAAAAAGAGAAGGAAUUGAUAGGUAAAAGAAAGGAUCUAAGUAUAUAUGAACGAGAUCUAAGAAGCAGCAACUAUCUUUUUAAAUAAAAAAUGAAAAUGAAAAAGAAAUCCACUCUAGAAUUAAAUUAAUUUAAAUUGGUGGGAGAUGGACGUACCUUUUGCUUAUUAGCGAUGAUGAGGGCGAUGAUGAGGAGGGGGGAGAGAGACGAUGGGAUGGGAUGGGAUUACGAGACCCAAAUGAUUGUGAUAUGAUGACACAGAAAAAGGGGGAGUCCAGAGGCUUCUUCCUUUUCUGUUUUUUUUUUCUUUUUCUUUUUAAUUUUUCUCUCUCUCUCUCUCCUCUCUCUCUUUCUUUCUCUCUCUUCGGCUGUAACUGCGCGAGAGAUGGAAAGGGUGGAAGAUCUCGAGGCUUCUUCCUCUUCUCUCCCUUCUUCUUUUUCCGCUUCUUCCAAUCGCAGCUUCCGAGAAUGGGAAGUUCUUUUUUAUCUUUUUAUCUUUUUUUUUUUGAGUAAGUGUUAUAUGUAACUCAUUAAAUGGAUGGUGCGUAAAUAAAUAGAAGGAAAAAAGAGGAGAGAGAUGGAUCGAAGUGGGUGGUUGGGUGUUUGGGUGGUUUCUCUCUACUAUUAUUUGGGUAUUUAUUAUUUCUUUUUUAGAGUUCUAUGAUUUAUUAUUUACUAAUUGAUUUUAUUAUAAAAGAGGUAGAAGGUUUGAGCUGGGGACUCUUUAGUCCGACCAGCCCCUCGUCCCUUGAGCCUUGCCUACGCGAACGACGCGUUGAGCACGUACUAUAUAUUCUUCUCUUCCGCGAGUAUCUCAUUCAUUAUUUAUUCAUUAUUUUAUUUUACGGUUGAAAAAAUAAAAAAUAAAAAAUACUGCAGUAAUAAAGGACUUAACAUCGGUGUUCGAGGUUCCGAUUUGUAAGUUAUUCAAAGUUCAUUUUUCCAUGUAUAACAAAUAAACAAUAAUAUAUAUAUAUAUAUAUAUAUAUAUAUAUAUAUAUAUAUAAAUAUGCCCAGCUUCUAAUUCUGAUUAAUUAAUUUACUGAUGAUCCGACAAUCAAUUAGUUGGUAAAGUUAUUAUGUCUCUCAGUUUAUUGACGUAUUGCUAAACCAGCAAUAUGGGGACAUUUAGCAGGUAAUUAGUCUUAAUCAUGUCCCGACGAAUGGAUUCUCAUUCUCCUUGGGCCCUCCACAGUGAGGAAUUCUACGCUGUCACACUUGCACCACGUCAUCAAUAACAUGCCAAUCAUAUUUCUUCUUUUCAAACGAAAGUACAAUAAAAAUAUUUUUUUACAAUCAUGAUGGGACAUAUAUUCUUAAAAGGAUUAAUUUGAUUGGUUUGUUACGCCACGUCACUAAUAUACCCGUUGCAUUCUAGAAUUUUUCCUCCACAGUUUGGUUGAUAGCAAACCAUCCAGGCCACCUAGACCUGUUUUUUCUAAUCAGGAAAAGCCCGUAAAGGUGACCACUUAAAAUAAAUAAAUAAAUAUGCAUCAACUACAAGGGUUGCUAUGGCCACCCUCAAGCGUCCCUAAUUCAAAUUUAAAAAUGUAGGAACCGCAAUUCACAGUAUUUGGCUAGUGUUAAUAGAACAUUUAUUAUUUUUCUACUGCUGCGUAUAGAACUGAUUACGAAGAUACAUAUUAUCACGCCGACAGAAAUUGAACUUCCAUGUAUUCGGUAGUUGAGGCCGAACUUUCAUUUGUUGUGAAAUGUCGGUGCUAAGUGUCAGCCCCACAACAAUGUUAAGUAAGGCAUCAUAGAGAGAACGCACAGCCUUUUUACCGUCAUUAUCAUCCAAUCUAGGUACUGAUUACUACACAUACAGUGCCCUAUAGCAUGUCAAUCAAAUUUUAUCCCACGGCUUACAACUCACUCAAAAUGUUCUUUUUGUAUCACCAAAAGCCAAAACACUCUUUACUUUCUUCUUCUUCUUCUUCUUUUUUCUUUUGAUUUGGUUGGAAGCACUUUUAUCAAUUGGCCAUUUGUUUAGGAAAGGCAGAGUCAGUUCGAUUAAGCUCGUGCUUCGACCUUAUUUGAGCCAACCCAGGCUAAAAAAUGAUAUUAGCAUGUACAAAAUUUGGUACUCGACGCAUAUUCCUCGCUUAACUUUGGGUUAACUAAAUGUUUCGUCACCACCCGCAUGUUGAACGAGGACCAAGGAGCAAUUAGUAAUACUUAACAAUGUAACACAGUAACACUAUAAUGCUGAAAAGAGGAGCCGGUAGCAAAAAACGCAGACCAUCAUCGUAUGGACCUUGGUAAGCAAGGGCACAGUUAGUGAGAGGACAAACAUAUUAUUUAAUAAUCAUCUUCUAGAUGGGCUUUAUCUCUUUCUGUUUUCAAAUAAGACUAACGUUAUUGUCUGAAUGGAGCGUUGAAAUUGAGGGCAUUAAAAGUCAGAAGUUAGUGCCUAAAGAGUGUAGAAAGGGAACAUACUUCAGCAGCCCCACGCACAGAAUUUUCUACGUAUAUGGUGGGGCGAUCCCACCGUCCACUACAGGCAAGAUCAACCAGGGCCUGCAAGGAAUUCACGCCAAAUGUUUAAAAAAACUGACAAUGUUGGCUGUAGCGUUUCAAACAAACCGUACUACACAGCAGCAGUUCUCGUGCAGCCUUGCAGGUUGGUACAGGCCAGCAGCUGUGCCAAUAAGCAUAUGACACCCAUGCCGGACGAGCCACGCACACACCAUGCCGCUAACGCGAUAAUUCUUGCUUUACAUUUACUCUCUUUGACAAGAUGCCAAAUCCACUACCCUUUUAAAGAAUAAUAUGGAAGGGACGUCCAGAAUUUCUAAAUUACAUCUCUAUUGUAUAAAAUGGGGCAAACUAUCCUCCCACAGAACAAUAACAAUUCCAAUACAUGGCCAACACGCAGCUGGGAAUAGAAGGUGAGAGAGGGAAUAUCAGGAGAGACUAACUGGAUACAGCAUAUAAUGUAACUCACUCUAACGGCUAAAACAAAUUAUUUCUAACUAAAUUACCCUCCCCCUGCUUCCCUCUACCUUCCUUGAGUGUACAAAUUGAAAAGCUCUGAAUGCAAAUCCGCACGAUAAAAUAUCCUUAAGCCUCUCGAGCACGUAUCAGCAAUAUAUCUGCAUGAACACACUAAGUGCGUGCGCCCAUUCAUGGUCGAUGUUAGGGGAGAAAGGAUUCUAAAUAAAAUAGAACUAAUUUUUCGUCUCUUCAUUUAACUCAGAGGUCAUUCACUCAGUCGAAGGGUUAUCCUCGAGCACCGGAACUACAGCAGAAGACAGCUCAAUGUGUGAUACACGAACAGCACCGAUAAGCCUCUCCGGAAGUUCAUCGUAGGUGUUUGCCUGCGAACAUGAUAGUGUUCUUAAUGUAAACUCUUAAAGUGGGAGCUAUCCAUUGAAAAUUGAUCAUCAGAAAAAGAGACCCUUUUCUGCCCAAAAAGAAAUAAUCUUUAAACAAGAGUUUCUUAAACUAAACCUAAGUGAAAAUGACAAACGAACAGAGCAUAAUACUGGGAGCGGCAUAUUAUUAUAAAGGAAUUGUUCGCAUUAAACAGGCAAAUCAAAAUUUGAUCUCACUAAGGUGAGAAUCGUCCGAAAGGGCCAUCUAAUGGCAGCUAACAGUAGAUAUUUGGUUUCAAAUAUCUAUCAGGCGAUGUAUAAUAUAAUGAGAUUAUUGAUAACUCAACAUAACUAGAUGAAAAUUAUUCACCCCCCACAUAAAUUGUGUGAGCAAAGGCAACUAGCAAACUCAUAAAUGAGAUUUUUCUCCUUAUGCUAGACUACUAAACAAGAUGCAAGCAAAGAAUCUUGAGCUAGAUUUCAAAGUAGAUUCAGAUUCAACAAUAAAUCUAAAUUCAGGAAACUUUCUUUGUCGAACUGAUCAAUCAGUAAGCUUUCACAUAGGAAAUGUUCAGCAGUAGUCAAUGGAAGAGAGCAAUCUCAAAAGUUUUCAUGUGCUCCCUCUAUUCGAGUGUUGGUGCAACCUACAAUUCUAAUUUACCUAAAAAAGUUGUGAAGAUAGGGACCAUUUCUUCACCAACUUCUCUUCACUAACAUGAAUUGAGAGGAUUCCCGAACAAUAUGACUGCUGGCAAGGAAAAUAAUUGCAAGCAGCACAAGAAUAGAAUCAUAGGCCCAAGAGUAAAACCGAGUACCUGUACAAGAAAUGCCAUGUCAACUACUAGUGUCGUAAUCACACCAAACACGAGCCCCAAUACUCCAUUAGCCACAGUAGAAGAGCCAAUGUCGAUGUCUAUCUGCAUUAGUCAAAAGGCCAUAUAACACGAUAACGGCUACGAUGAGUCAAAUUUAUUUUUUCAAUGUCUAGACAAAAGUAUACACUUGUUGAACCUAAUACAGAUGUCAGAGAUUGUUCUUACUUCCAAGUAAUUAGGUCCACGAAUGUAUGUACAAUCAACUGCUUUCCCUAAUAAACAAGGGGUGCUUCCAACACUCUGGCGAACAAUCCAGGAUCCCUGCAUAGGUCUGCCAGUGUUAGGAAACAAAUAAAAUAUAUAGUGAGCCUACUCAUGUGAAAACCAUGUUACAGGUCCAUCGAAGCCUCUCCUAACAAAUAAAAUAAAAUAAAAUAAAAAUAAUAAAAAGAAAAGGCAUCAGAGAAAAGCUUUAAAUUGCGUGCUUGGUUUUAUGGUUAAACUCAGCCUGCCAAGUGAUAAAAAAAGCAGUUUAGAGAUUACAGGAGGAGGUGAGUACCUUUGGGACAGAUGGGAUAAGCUUGAACCUACUAUUGCGGAAUUCAUCAUCCCCAUCCACAAAGCGCUGCAAUAAUGAUCCAGGUACCAGUUCUUUUGUAACAAAAUAAAAGACCAUGCUAUAAUUAGUUGAGCCUGGAACCUGCAAAAUCAACUUGUUACUAUUCUCUCAUUAGGACUCAAAAUAACAAAUUAUGCACAUAUCAUUGAAAAGUAAGCAACCUGUAUCACGUAAACAUGGAAAAAAAAAAAACAAUGUCAGCAACAAGCACGAGAAAAUAUGAUAAGGAAAAAUAAAACUGAAUUAGGUAAAGUAUGUCCAUCUAUUCCACUUCAGAGACGAUUGGAUUUGGGAAAGGCCAUAUCUCAUGGGAAGAUUACACUAGUAUAUUAGGUGCUGGCUACUAUGCCAAAAGCGAGGAGAUGAUACUAUUGUACUCUGAUUUUACAAGACAUAACAGAGAAUUAUGCCAACUACUUCAUAAAUUAAUUAUAAUGUCGUUGAUGGUCACAACAACAAUGAACCCAAGAAAUAUAGAAUGUGAUUACAAUAACAACUAACCCAAUGCAAAUAAAAUUAACAUAAAAAAUCAUUUUAAUCAGGGUUUCAAAGGUGAGUCAGAGCAGAACAACCCAACUGCCCUGACUAGCACGACCUCACUAGCCCACCCUGAAAAAAAAAAAAAAAAAAAAAAAAAAAAAAAGGCUCGGACCCUUUUCAAGUCCAGGACCCAGCCAACCUGAAACAGAAAAGCUGGCCAGCACUGAUGUUCUCUGAAGGAUCAAAGCAAAAGGAAAAGAAAAGGCAAUAAGGACAAUUAUUUCAGCCCCAGCCUGUUUCAGCUUCAAAAUUUAGAACUCACGCUAAGAUCAGCCCCAAGCCCAUACUGCGAGACCCAACCCAUUGACAACUAUAGACUCCAACCAUUUCUAUCAGUUGCAAACUUGCAUUUAUAAACUUCUGCUGGUGAAGAGCAUUCUCUCAAAUAUAUAUUUACCGAGUACCUAAUUGGUUGGGUUCCAUCAUUCCCAACAUUUUCAACAGCAUUGUUCUUCUCCCAAGUUUUGGAAAUAUCACAUAGCACGGAAGAUAGCAUUCCUUAGAAUGUGCUACAAUACUAAUGAACAAGAUGCAAGAUAAAAAAUCAGAUAUGCGCUACAAUAUAUCCUGCCUAACAAAACUUCAAAAAAAAAGUAUGUUAAAUCAAGCAUUCAAAAAGACCUCAAUGGUUGAGAUGCAAAUGUUUAAAGCAAAAAAAACAUAAUAACUAACAAAUGAAGUCGCAUCCACUUUUCAUAGGUUCUUUUAAUUUCAUAUGUUUUCAGCUUGGCUUUUUCUGUGAACUCUUGUGAAAACUCGGUUAAAGGCAUGAAGGAAAAGAUCACCAUCCAUUAGUGGCACCAUUGUAAGAGACAUGACUAGUAAGCACCAAACACAAGAUGGCAUAUAGAAUUGUUCAAUCGCUUGCUUAUUACAAGCCAUACUAUGCUAAUUCACAUCAAAGAGAAUUGUCACAGGAUGUUCAAGUAGAACUUACUUGCACAUUUAUAGCCAACGAAAAUAGUCCCCUCUCAGAGGCAACCUACAUUACCAGACCAAAAUCAUUAAGUUCUUCAAACCAACGUAAAUUCAGUAAUUUCAGCUGUAUCAUGGAACAAAUGUUAAAGCAACGUAAUAAUCAAACUAGCUUGAGAAAAUAAAUACAGGUAGAAAAAUGAUUAAAAAAACUCAAAAUCAUUGUCCAAAAGAAGAGAUAAAAUAAGGCAUUGAACAUAAAAACAAUAAUGAAGUCAUAGAUAUGACAUACUUGGACAGCGCAACCUUUUCUCCUUGCUACAUGAUCCAUUCGCUUCACAUCCUUAAGCCAAUCAACAGCUACAAGCUCCAUAAGAUGCUUUCCUGCAGGAAUCUGCAGUAAACACUGAUGAGCAGAAGAGACCAAAAACUACUAUUUGUUUCCCUCAAAGCUUCAGAAUACAAUAAGCUAGGUUUAUCAAAGGGAAGUUAGGGGACCUUGGUUUUGUCAUAUGUAAAAUUUUUACUUCUGACUCUGAAGUUAUUUGCAUCAGAUAUUGUCCAGCAAUUACGACUUUUCUCACGUUCAUCGCGGCGUAGGUUGCCAGAAAAACCAGAUAAAUCAAGUUGAUCUGAAGGCUCCUCAUCCAAACCUUAAAUUAAUUUAGAUUGAGAAAAUCAGUUAUCAGUUCAGUUUAGCUGACAAUUAUUUCAUAACAGAAAAAGAAAAAACAAUAUCAUACUUGUCGGUUUAACAUCGGUCACACGUUUAACUGGGUACGCCUGCACAUGCUGCAAUGUUAAAAUUCAUAAAAGCAAGGAUGAACCAUGUAAGCAAAACUAGAAGAUAUCUACAGACCUCUUGAUACGAUAAUUGAUAAUCUUCAUCCUCAUCAGAAUCUUCUUCUAUCAAUGUGGAGUGUCUACUAGCAGCAUGCACUUGAUCUAGUGAAGGACCCGGCUGAGCAGAAUAUUCUUGUCCUUUUCUUUCCUUCUUUGAAGAAAUCGAACUUGUAGUCAUAUUGACCAUCACUGGGAUCCUUGGUAGUAUGUGGGUUUCAUCCCUUUGAGAAAACCAUUCACGCAGCCCUGUCAAUGAUAAGUACAAAAGGUAAGAAAAAUCUUGAAAAUCACCCAACCAUAAAAAGCAAAUAUUUUGCCCAAUGAAAGGGACUUUCCAGAUGAUUUUGAUCAAAGAAUUAAUUAUAUAGACAAAUUUGUGAUCUCAUGAACUAUAAAAUAAACUGCGAAGUCCAUAAUAGGUCUUAGUCUUUUAUAGAGCUAUGCAAGCAACACUCAAUUCAUGUAUCAACUCUGGCCCUUACAAUUGAUAAUUCUCUCUGUUCAUUUGUCUUCACUAGAUCCGGUCUCUUCCCAAACUUUCUUUUUCCAUGUGAUUAGAAUUAAAAAGCCUCUCAAUUUCUAUGUUAGAAAUCCUAAAAUCUCCGCAAUCUCUAUCACAGACAUCCCUUCUCAUUGUUCAUGAAUAGAACAAGACAAAACCCAAUAAAGUACAGGAAUGAAAACGGUGAAGAUGGCGGAGAAAAGGUAUAAUCAGAGCCUCCAGUUAUGGACUGAAACCAUAUACAGGGAGCAGCACGGGAGAGAGCAAACUUAUCCUGUUGUAAUCCUAACCCACCUUGAAACAAAACUUACCUCUCCAAAGGAGAGUGAGCUCAUUUUGACAGACUAGGUUUGACUUUUCCACAAUAAAUAUACUUCACCGUCCCAAUAUGUGAUACACCAAAUGAACUGUAAAUAUACUAAUAGAUUUGCAAAACACUGGACAUGAUUAAAAUCUUUUGCAUCAUCAAAGUGCUGACACCCUAAUUAUCUAGAAAUUUGUCCGAGGUAGAACUAGGUAGACUAAAUUACUAGCUAAUAAAACAAAGCAAUUCAAAGAUAUGAAAAAUAUAAAAUAAAAUUAAACAUCAACCACAAUUAUAUCAGAAUGAUGGGCGAAUUUUCUAAAUUCAUUUAAUUUUCAAAUGAUACAUUAUUAUAAAAAUAUAUCAACCUGCAUCUGAGAUAUUAAAUGUAUAGUACACAACUUAUGUAAACCUAUUGCUUUACUAACAAAUUAAGAGGCUAUUCUCAGAAACAUAUUAAGCAGAUAGCCUAAACAAAACAAAACCACACUGGUAAAACAGAUAUUGUUUACAUUAGUGCAGUAAACAGAUAUUGUUUACAUUAUUGCAGUAACUGCUUGAAAAACAAUAAUUUCAAUCAAUACAUGAUUGAGAAGAGCAGUACCAGCAACACUAUUCAGCAUAUGAAGCAAACAAUGUUGCUGGAAAGAUGGUAAAUAUCCGACGCCCCAUCCCUUUAGAUCAAUUUGCAUAAGAUGUUGAACUUGUGUUCGAGGUCUCCCAUGUCGAGAUUUUAGGGGAGAAAUGUUAAAUCCUCCACCUGCAAAACAAGAUCUGUUACCCGAGUGAAGAAUGAUGAUCACACUUUCAAUUAUCUUUUCAAAAACAGGAACCAUAAAUGCUCCAUGAUAAAGCCUCAGAGUAAUUAUUGAAAAGUACUCUCAAUAUGGGCUCUCACAAAUCCUGGCUGGGGGCCACAGUUUGGAUGCUCCCUCGACUGAAAUAGUACAACUGCCAAUGAUAACAUGAUACCACAGUUAUUAGAUAAGGGUGGAGACAAAAAUAAAGAAAAACUGAAAUACAUACCAUAGCUUCCAUCAUCAUUACGUCGCCAAUAACGCACAUAGCAAAGAUCGCGAGGCCACACAAACCUGCAAAAUCAUAGGAACUUCUACAUUAAUAAAACUAUUUCAACAAGAUAGGCUUUCGCCGUUCUUUAUUAGUUUUAGCAGUAGUUAGCAUCUCCCAUUUUGGGCAUUUCGAGCUGCUCUGACUUGACAAUUGCUAAUAGAGCCAUUCCAAAGUAGGAGAGCAGAUGAAUCUUGCAGGACUCAGCGAGAGCAGACGAGUAACUAAAGUAAUAAAAGAAUGUAAGUCUUUCUAAAGAAUGUUAGUACUAUGUAACCAACGGCUAAAACUAAUGGAAUGUUCUAAGGAAUCAUGAUGACUAUUUUUCCCAGAAGAAAAGAGAAAUAUCUAGCUACAAUUCUUUGAAUCUGAUCCAUUGUUCUAGCCGGAAAGGGCAUUACAUUGUACACCAAUCCAGCUGUAGUCUAUGAUAUAGUAUAGCAGUGUGCCCAUCAACCUCCUCGACUAAACUACCAUACUGGAAGCUGCAAUCCCACCUACAAUGACAAAGAGAUACAAUUAAAAGAAUCUGUUUUGUCAAGGAAGACAAAUGGAUUUCAACCACUUGCAACCUACUCAAAACGUGUUCCAUCCAUGCUCAUCACGAGUUCAAAAAUUGCUUCACAUGAAGCCUCUACCACACCAACAGCCUUCAUUGCUCUACUACAGCUCCUUGGCUAUAGACAACACAAGUUUAACAAAGGGUAAUUAUAUAAAUCAUGCAAAGUUUAAGAUAUAACCAUUUGCAAACAAGAUGGUAUAGGAUUUCACAACUUACAAGGUAAUCUACUUCUAGGAGCUCUUCAAAAAUGCGUAGUCCUGUAAUUUAAGUGCAUAGAGGAUCAUCAAUCGAACCAAAGUAUGAAUUUAAGCUCUAGUUAUUUGAUGCUAAUGGUACAUUCAGAAUUCAAUAACCCAUAGAUUUGAUGAAAGAAAACAGAUUUGCCAGCAACAGGUAGAGGAGAUUCUUGCCAUUCUGGCACCUGACUAGACGCCAAUGUUUUCUAGAGAAAACUUGAUCAGCGCUGGCCUGAUUUGACAAUGCAGAAUCAGUCUCGCGGGUCCAGUCAUACAAUGACUCAGGAGGACCUGCAAGUGAAAAAGAUAAUCAUCUUAGCAAGAUAUGCCACUGAACAAUGUGAACUCCAAUAGUAAUGCUACUGUGAAUUCGUUCAGACCAUUUCCUAUUGUUGUUCUCCGUAGUAAUGCAGGUUGGCUAUCCGCUUCUUCCUCAGGACUACACCUGCCGAAGAAGAUGUGUAGAUAUAUAAUGUAAGAAGAAUAAAAACACAGCAAAUAAGAAGAAACUUUCCACACAUAUUUCCUAAAAAGUCUCUGACAAUGCAAAGUUCCAGGCUUAAUACAUUGGAAGAGAAAAGCUUAUUUUGGAAGUCACUACAUAAUAUAAAUUGGUUUCGGAAGCAUGGUACCAUACACUUCCUUCUUUAAUACUAUCACAUGGUGAUUAAGUGAAAACUUUUCAGCCAAACUUCCAUAUUACCUAAUUUUCUGUUUGUUCGUGCACUUUUUGGUCUUUUUCCUUUGGCUUCGUUUGAGACUUGUUUAGAUGAUACUUUGCAACAGCACAUGCUUUCAUGUUUUCAAAUAUGGUGGAUUACUACCAUGCAAAUAACUGCACCAUUGUCUUCAAUAACUACAUAUCAAAAGCCUUUACUGUUAAGUUAUACAUGGAAUCUUCUAUCAACUUAAACAAAUUGAUUUGAGUGGUGGAAAAAGAAAAAAAUAAUGAUCAUCUCCUUAUCCCAUUUGCUGGGGAAGUGAAUUGUGGCUGUCAUAACAUUAUGUGCCACCAAUCUGUUGCAAAAGCCUCUUCAUAGUUUUAUUGUUUACAUCAUACUAGAGAUAGAUUCUUUGCCAUACUGAUAUAUGAUUACAAGAAAUGAUAUAUAUCAGGCUUUAAGAGGCAAUCAAAGCCUCAUUCAUCAUAAAUUGUCAAGAGGAUGUAUUAGUUAAAUCACGGUUGGUUUUCAGAAUCAUCAUAUUUCUGGGCAAGUAAGCAACAAACUCUUUAAGACAAAAGAAUACAAAUUGAAAUAGGCCAUCAUUACUUCCAUGUGCACCAACAAGUAGAUAGUAUGGACCAAAAGCAUGAACAAGUGCAAAAUUAGCAUUCAUUCUUAACAUUAAACAAUCACCGCCUCUGAAAAUCUGCACUUACUGGCUCUCACGAUCAGAUGAGGAAUUCCUUCCAUUUUCUAUGGCAGAUUUGUACUGAAACGCUGUAUAGACCUUAUUUCCAUUAGCUGGCAUAAGAUCUUGGUGCUGCAAUAAGCAUGAAAGUACCAGUAAAUCAAUAGAUAUUCUUCGUUGUCAAACUGAAACCAUCCAGUUUAGUUGGAAAAUAGCUGAUUAUAGUUCACAAAUUAGCUUAAAAAGAUGACACUAGACAGAGUGGUGUGCCAGUAUGAGAGACUAGAUAUAUUAACUCAACUUUCAUUCAAACAUGGUAAUAUAAAAUAUAGUUUGCAUAUGCUUAACCUGAUCGAUGACAAGCUCAAUCUUUUCCUUCCAUAUCAACGCCUCUUGGAUGUUGAAUGCUGCCAUCUGACCGAGAAAAAAACUAAGUUUAUAAACUUCUGAUCAUCAAAAGACCAUGAAUAUGAGCGUAACGUAUGCUUUCUAGAUAAAGUGAUGCUUCGGUAUUCAUCCUCUAUCCAUGAGGCUGAACCAGGUUAUGUAAACUCAACAGUUAAAAAGCAUGUCCAAUAGCAUACAAGCAAGAGAGUAUCCACUAGGAAUCUGCAAUUUACAAUAAUAGAAUCUAAAGCAAGAAAAUAUUUCCGCCUUCCAAUCACUACAACAUAAAGUAACAAAAUAAAGCGAAAGUUGUUAAAGAUGUAAGUAGCAUGUAAUCAUAAUUUGGGUGCUAUUUUCUCAAUUAGUAUAAAAUAAAGGGAAAAAUAGAAAAUAAGAAAAUAAAGGCUGUAGUACGCACCGUAAUUCGAUGAUGCUUCUCUUUUUUGUUGUAAACACAUAAGACAUAAACCAUCUGUGGAAAGAACAUAACUGCGUAAGAAAGUGCAUUUGUCAACUCUGAGUUGUCACAAGAGUAGCAAUUGUGACUGAAAGAAAAGAGUAACGGCAGGUUCUUAAGAUCACAAGAAGAUUAUCCUCAUGUGGUAUUUAGAAUUUAUUUUAUAAGCCCAAAUCCAUUAAACUUUCACAUUCCCCUACACCCUGGAUCACUAUUCACAUCUGCACCAUGUAUAGAAAUUUCAGGUCCUUCAGAAGAAAAUAAAAGAUCAUUCAAGCCUCCCAAUAAUAGAAAAUAUCAGACUUUCAGCCUUGAAAAUUGUUAGCGUAAUAUCUCUAUGAACUGCAGAAACUAUAGUUUUUUAAAAAGGUAGAGCACUUCAUAGUGCUGCCGAUAAUGGCUCUAUCUUGCAAUAUAACUUUUAACUGUAACAAAUCAUCAGCAUAAACCUAAAAACUUACAUUAAAUACGUCAUUUUCAGCUCAUGAACUAGAAAAUAUGGGAAUAUCUUGUAGAUAACUGGCACAAAGUAGUUGGUAUAUUUUUUAUGAUUAUGCUAAUAUUGUAAUAACAAUAGGGUAAUAAGCUCAUCUGAUGAUUAUUAACCUAUCCAAGCCAGUGGCGGACAAACUUAAUUUAAGCACUUCCAAGAAAAUAUGCCAGAAAACUGUAAAGACAAAUGAAAUUUUUAGUAUUAAUAAAAGAGUAAAAUUUCCGUCUCACAAAUAGGUUCAACAUAUUUUACAUACUAAGUGGGCCUACAAAGUGUCGUCAAGAGAGGAUGAAUAUGACCUAUUCAACAAUAAAACUAUUGCCAAUUUUUAUGUAAAAAGAAAAAUUACAAGAAAUAGAUGAGGGGGGAAAAAAAGAAAACUUACAUGUCCGUGAUGCAUCUUCAGGCCUCUAUCCUCAACCCUGCAAUUUCCAUCAAUAAGAAGGGUCUUGAUCGGCACCUACAUCCCCAGAAAACAAAAUAGAUGAUCCAAAGCAAUUAAUCAAAUCUCUCCAAGAUUCAGAGCUUCUAAAUCUUAAAUCAGAAAAGGGGACAAUGCGAGCUCCAACUACCAUGUUAUCCUGGGGUUUCCUCUUGUAAUAAGCGAGAACCCUAGUCUCGAGAACAAAAUAUCGCAUGUGGAUGAAGGAUCGCCCAAUCUUCCUCCGCCCGUACCGAACCAUCCAUCCUUCGUACACCACUUUCGACAUCUCUCUUAGUCAGCGGCUCCUACUCCCAAAGCCCUUCCAAACACCGCUUCUCCACUACCUCACGCUCCAAACUACUACUAUCGUUAAAACCGACCAAAACCCUAGCCAAUCGACGAUAUCCCCAAAAUUUCAACCAAUAAAACUUCGAAUUGUUCGAUCCGAACGAGGGAGCGCGUGGGGAUCGAAGAAUCGCAAGGUUCCUACUCCCAAAACCCUUCAAGAAAACCCCGUUCCACAAAAACCUCGUGCCCCAAACCCCGUUGAAACCGAUCAAUAUCCUAGUUGAUCGACGAAAUUCCCCAAAAUUCCGGGCGAGAAAACUUCGAACCGUGCGAUUCGAAAAAAAGGAACGCCGAGAGAUCCAAGAAUCGCGAGAAUUGAAAUCGAAAUCCGCGAUGAAGAAGCGCGGAAUCGAAGGAACGAUCGAUCGCCUCCUCCCGAUCCGAUCAGAUCCGCCGCGCGGGAGGAGACAUCGGAGCGAUCGCCGAUCAAAGAAGGUGGCGGAGAUGAAGACAGUGGAGAAACUGACAAAAAAACGUCACUUGGAUUUCGAUAUUUUAAAUGGGAACGGAUGAGAGAGAGUGUGAGAGAGAAAGGCACGAAGGGAACGCUCUCGUUCUCUCGCACUCUCGCUCCGUCUCACUGACACCUUCUCAGUCCUUUUUUCUCUUUUACUUUUUUACUUUUUUUUUUGGGGGGGGGGUUUUGUGUGAAGAAAAUAAUUUGGAAAUGUGGAGUGGUUUUAUCGCCCGAGAUUUGAGGGCUUGAAAAGAGUUGACGGCGUAAUGGCGGGAAGGACACUAAUAAAGCCAUAUUCGGGGCUUUUUUUUUUUCUUAAAUAGUUUUUAAAAUGUGUAUAAAAUUAAAAAUUUUAUAAAAAUAAAAUAAAAAUUUUAAAUCAUCAGCAUAAACCUAAAAAUAUUUUUAUUUUCUUUUUAUAACAUCAGCGCCACAUCGUGGACAAUCCAUAGAACGGAAAACAGUAAUAAGUGAUGAAUGCUCCAUAUUUUUUUAUUCCGAAAUUAAUAAAUAAUAAUUCACUGUUUUACUAGUAUUCUUAUUUUUUUAUAUAAUUAUGAAUUAUUUAUCAUAUUUUGUAUCUCAAAAUUAUGAUUGGAACUGUAUUUAGUAUAGUAGAUGGAGAAUGCGAUGACAAAUAUUCGGAGUUUAAAUUAGGGAAAACUUUAAAAACUCCCCCUAUGAUUUCUUAGUUUCUCACUUUGCUCCAUGUGGUUUAAAAUGUAUCAAUUUGCCCCAUGUGGUCUCUUUUUUCUUUUUUUCUUAUCAAUUUUAUUAUUAUUUUUUUUAAAUCAGUGAUAAAGUUAAAAUUAAAUAGUACUAAAGUGAAUAUUACCUUUCUGACUAAAUGGUGGUGGCGCCUUCUCACCGAACAAGGAUUUCGGUGGAUUAAACUAAUUAGAAGUGUAUACUAUACCAGAAGGCGUCUACUUUUCGAAGGCCGGUCCUUUACCGGCCUCACAAUGGUGGAAAAGCGUGGUUAAUCUGAAGGAGGUCUGUAAAUGCGGGUUAAACUUUGAGCUUGAGGACGGCCUUCUUGUUGACUUCUAUGCUGACAGAUGGUAUGGCCCCACCUCUCUAAAGUCGCACUUCCCCGACAUUUUUUGAUACGUCCAUAACAAAGAAGUCCGAGUCAGCAAUUGUUACUCUACAUCUGGGUGGAGGUGGAGAAAGAUCCUGAGAGGCGCCAGAAGAUACCCAUAGUACAGCACACAGAGAAUCAGGGAGUUGAAGAAUCACCUCGUUAAUGUGUUGCCCACCAAUCAUCCCGAUGAGGCCCAAUAGAGAUGGAACCUCGGAAGUUCGUUUACUGUCAAGUCAGUGUAUGCAAUCAUCAGAUUUGGGGGAGUUCUGGAUUCCGUGACGCCUGGCAUUUGGAAAAUGAAAAUUCUGGCUAAAGUCAAAAUCUUUUUCUGGAUAGCCUUAAAGAAUAGAUUGCCUACUGGGGAUAACCUGAGUAAAGGGGGAUGGUCUGGUAAUAACAUCUGUGUUUUGUGUGGCGUCGAGGUGGAGACUAUAAACCAUCUACUAGCGAAAUGUGUGGUUGCCAAGUACCUCUUUGUCUCGUCCCCUCGAGAGCUCCAUACCCUCACCUUACCCGAGGACGUUUAUACCAUAUGGGAGAAGCUGCGGGGGAAGGGGACACCGACGGACAAGUUUAAGGUCCAGAGCCAUAUCGCGGCCCUUUGGUGGACAAUUUAGGAUGUCAGAUAUAAUGCUAUUUUUCGGAACAAACCUUUUGACGUUCUCUCUGUUGCUCAUCAUGUUGAGGAUUUAGCAAAGGAGUGGGCCGCCCUCUGUUGAGCCAGGGGACGCGCAUGUGGUUACUUCACAUCGCCUUGACGUGUACUUCAAGCUUGCACUAGGGGUCGUCUGUAUUUCAGAUUUCAGUUUCCCGUUCGUUUUCUUUUUUCCAUCAUUUUUGUUUUCCAUCCCGAGGCCAUGGAUGCCUCAAUCAAUGUAGCUAAAUUUAUUUUCUUAUUGAAUGAAACGGAUAGUGUGCUAUCUAUUUCUCAAAAAAACCAAAACAAAAUAAAUAACUUGCUAUUUUAUCAAAAAAAUAUGAUAAAUGCAUUGAAUUAUUGGUCAUUAUUAACGUUCUUUUCAUUCUCUUUUGUUUUCCUAACAAAUGCGAUAUAUCACCUACCAUUUUUAUUUUUUUUAUAAUAAUAAUAGUAACGAUAAAUUGUUUAUUAUUUAGAAAAAAAAUAAAAUGGUUCAUUAUCUUAACACUUUUUUCAUGACCAGAAAAGAGUUAUAUUUAUAAUAAACUUUUUAGAAGAUUUUACUUUUAAAUUUAAAAUUAUUUAGAGUUUUUUUGUAGGGUAAAAAAAAGCUCCCACCUUAAGCUAAAAUAUUUGUAGGAUGAGAAGAUAACUUAUGUUUUUUUCAUGGAAGCAGAGGGAGGUAGAAUUAUUUUAAACUUUAUUUGUUAAGUUUAUUAUAAAUUAAAUUUGUCAUAACUUCACUAUCCAAAACUCAUUAUUUGACUUCGUCAAAUCAUUUACGAAAGAGAAAGGAAAAAAAAUUAUAAUAAAAAUAAAGGUUUAUUUUUUGUACUGAUAUAAAUUUUGUUGUUAAACAAAAAAAAAAUUACAGUUUUAAAAUUAUUGAUUUUAUACCAAACAAAAAAUAGUAAAAUAAAAUUAUCUAAAUGUCAAUUCACCAAAAAAUAUUUUAAGAAAUAUUAUCUCUGUACAUUUCUUAACUAUGCGUAACAUAUACAACCUAUCUAUUAUCAAAGGCCCUCUUUCUUUUCUAUGAUUAUCAGCAAAAAACUAAAACACAUUUGAGUUUGCACCAAUUGGAAAAUUAAAAUAGCGUAAAACUUACACCUGUAUAAAAAUAAAUAAAUAAUAUAUUUAAUUAUUUUAAUCUGAAAAUUUUUUACAGCCUGAACAUUAACAGGGCCAUAACCGUUGAGUUUACAAGACCGUGCCUCAAUAACGCAACGGUCAUUAGAACGUUAACGCGGCUCGGUCUAUAAACCCCGGCUCAGGGAAUAGCUUCUCCCAUCCCAGAGACCCAGAGCGCUUUCCCGCCAAAAUCAGCCUCCGCCUUCCCCAAAGGGCCCAAGAUACGGUGCGGUCCCGGAGCGUCGCCCAAACCCUAGCUUCGAUCGCCCCUUCCUUCAAACCCUCCCAUGGCGACAUCGCCCACUGCAUCGGAUCCUCCCUCCUCUCCGAUCGCCGCCUCAGAUACCGCCGAUAACAAUCUCCAGGUCCCUGCUCCACCCCCCUCUUCUCUCUCUCUCAUCAUUGCUCAUCCUUUCGUCCUGAUUCUUCUGUUCUUUUCUUGUUGCAGCCAUUUUUUGUUUUGCACAAAGCAUUGCCUGGGAAAUCCGAGAAAAGGGCUUCUGGAUCCGGGAGAACCAGAAGAAAGAUCGAUCUAAGUGCUUCCUCCCCGAAAUCUGCGGAGAAAUCCGAUCAGAUUCCACCGGAUGACUCCGAUGCCAUUUGUGAGAAGCUUCGUCUCGAAGCCUUCGAGCGUACCUGGUCCAAAAUCGACUCCACAAUCAAGGUCUUAUUCUUUUUCUAACACCCUAUUUAGUUCUCUCCUUGAAUGAAUGAGAACUGUGUUUUCCCAACCUUUUCCUGGAUAUUGUUUCUUGGAUCAGGAGGUCUUGCGACAGAUCAACCUCAAUCUGUUCAAUGAAGUGCUGCAAUGGAUCCAGGAAUUGUUCUCGAUCAUCAAAUCCAGCAGAACAACUAGCCUUUCAGAAAUCCAACGGCCUUACCCGUUGUUAACAGAUGCAUUAUGCAGGAGGGUACCUGCUGCGUUCGUUUUCACUAGUGAGGAUCCGUUAGUGGUUUCUGCUCUAAAUUCCUCUUAAGAGAUGAUUCUUGGUAGUACUUACUAAUUCGCUCAAUUUUGUUCAGAGAAUGUCGAGUUUGUGGAUGAUCUUUUGACGUUUCAAGAUCUUGGCGUGCAUUUGAAAAGUAACAGAUGCCAUGUUGCCAGCCUUUCGGGUUUGGACUUUUUGGCUAAACAUGGGAUAGGCGGUUGCGUUAGAAGCUUGUUGAGGCAGCUGGUUUCAGAUGCUUCAGAUGUGAGUUACCGUGAUUUUCAGCGAUCAAAUUUCAUCUCUCAUGAGAAGUCGUUAUUGAUUCUUACAUCUUAUGGCUUGUUUGCUUAUUUUGUAUUACCAGGUGGCUGAUUUUGCUGUAUUAGCCUCUUGGUACUGCGAACAAGAGAACUACAACAAUCCCAUCAUUAUCAUAAUUGAUGAUAUGCAGCGAUGUAAUGGUGGCGUCCUUGGUGAGUUCAUCACAUUGCUAAGGUGCUGUAUCUCUCACUUUUGAAUGUCUCAUUGCCCAUCUUUUCUGGUUCAUAUAUGGCAUUACGGGUUUUUUUUUUUUUUUUUUUUUUUUUCUGCUUCUAAACUUUGUGGAUUACGUCAAGUUUAAUAAAUAUUUAAGCACUUGCUUUCUCCUUAUUUUAGGGACAUUUUUAGCCAAAUGCUUGAUGCAAUGGUCUUUUAUAGUUUGCUUUCCUUUUUUUUAUUGGUAUUUGCUGAAUGUCCUGCAUGCUUAUGCUAAACAGAUGAGAACAGAGAAAGUAUACUCAUCUACUAUAUCCAUUGAUAAAGGCAUGUACUAGGGUUUUUAUUUUCUGGAAAAAAUGUAUGGACCUUACCUGAACUAUGGGACAUUUGGAUUGGGCUACCCAAACUCUCAAAAUUUUAAUUUUACUUUUUAACCCUUCAAUUUAUUUGAUUUGGGUCAGUCAACUGCACUUUGACUCUAAAUGUUAAGCUAAUUACUUAUUUUUAAUAAACUUAUAAUUGUAAGAAUUGCAUGACAUAUACUAACUAAAUUUGUAAAGAUAAAUGACGCAUUCAAAUUUUAAAGUCAAGGUAUUGUUGACGGAUUGAAAUUAAACAAUUAAAAAAUUAGAUAGUAAAAUUAAAAUUUUGAAAAGUUAGGUGACUAAAUUCAAAUGGUCCAUUUUUCAGGCAAGGUCCAUACAUUUUUACUUUAUUUUCUUCCUCUAUUCCUUGGCACUAUAUUAAACAGCUAAGAACAGAGGAAAGUACACUUACCGCCUAUAUCAUCCAUCAAUAAAGGCAUAUACUAUGGUUUUUAUUUUUUUUCCUCUCUCUUUGGGACUAUUUGACCUAACCACUCUUCGCCAGCUACAAAGUGCACACUUGUAGGAUAUAGCUCUGAGCCUCUGAUAUAACAAUUUAAAUCAUAAACUAUGUCUAUUGUAUAAAUAAAAAAUGUUUCACGAAUCUAGUUGUGCUCCAUUUUCUCGAUUCUUCAAAGCAGUGUUAAGUCAAAUGGUGGUCAGUAUUUUAAAUUUUUUUAAUUACCUUUACUGGAAUAUUUUUUGGUGUACUUAAAACUAAUUCUGUCAACAGCUAUCAUAUACUCUAGGCUUUCUGCUUUUAUUACCUGGCUUCUGAAAAAGUUGUUUCUUACAGCGAAUGGGUUAUUAAGAUUCCAAUUUUUAUUAUAAUGGGAGUUGCAACGACUGUUGAUGCCCCUAGAAAGCUUCUUUCUUCAAAUGCUCUGCAGCACCUGCAGCCUUGUAAGCUCACAUUGGGGUCUCCUGCUGAGAGAAUGAAUGCAUUAGUCGAGGCUAUUCUUGUAAAGCCAUGCUCUGGAUUCAGUAUAAGCCAUAAAGUUGCAGUAUUUCUUAGAAACUAUUUCCUUAGACAUGACGGAACAAUAACUUCAUUCAUAAGUGCCUUAAAGGUCAGUUCUUUUUUAAAGUUGAUAUAUUUCUGAUUUAUCAGCCACAUUGUGGAUGUUUCUCUGUUUAAGCACAGACAUGUUAAAAGACAAUUUUUUGUUUUGCAGCUUGCUUGCAGUAAACACUUCUCCUUGGAGCCUUUGAGUUGUUUAUGCCUGGGAACUUUUGAUGAGAAUCGUCGGGUUAUCUUUCUACUCUCACAUAGAAAAUAAGACAUUCACCUUAUAUGCCUGCUCUGAUAAUACUCUAUAAUGUUAGCGUAAUUCAUUCUCUGAUAGAACAUUUGUAAAGAUAUGCAGACCACUUCAUGUGGUUAAAAUAUGCUAUUUGAUAAAUACAUUAAAGAUAACCCUCACCUUUGUUGUUAUAUGAUAUUGCUGGAAGAUGUGCAUCACAAUGAGUGUUUAGUGCAGUCGCUGAAGUAAUAUAUAUUGCUAUGGUUUUGCAUAUCUCCUUUUCCUUUAAAUUUUUAUUGAGUCCUACUGUUGAUUUUUGCUCUAAGUUGGUUCUGCACACCAAUAGAUAAAUUUUUCCUUGUGCACAUUAUUUGGCAGGACGAGUUUGAUGCAUUUCCUGGGCCUAUCCUUAGAACGGCUUUUGAUCUCCCCUCUUGUAAAAGGUAGUGGAUUUAUAUCUAAAUUUUCCGUGCGUUAGUAAAUGCAGAGAUGUUCUGCAGACUGGAACUAAAAAGUGGACUGUACUGUCAGGGAGAAGAUUUCUCAAGGCAGUGGAACUAGCAUCACACAAGGGUUGUCUCAGCUCAGAAAGCUGCAAAGAAGUUGGAGUUCUGUUGUAAUGGUAUGUUCUCUUAUGUGCAUCGGAAAAGAUAUGAGCAUGGGAACACUGAAAAAGUACAUCAAAUGAUGCUUGCGUACUUUUCCAUAAUUGCACUGCAUCUGCAUUCAACUGUUAAUUAGAAAAUAUCAGGUAUAUGGGGUUUCUUGCAGAGUUUCUUCAACAUGAUCCAGUAUGCAUGUGCAUUUAAUGCUAUUGGUAUACAUUUUACUGUAACUCUGAAUGAUUAUAACGUUUUCACUAUACGGUGAAUUUGCUUAAGAGUUGAAAUGGAUAAUACAUAGGAUUUAUCCUGCUACUCCUCUCUCUUUCUCGUUGUUCUUUAUCUUUUUGAUCUGCCAUUCACGCUAUUUCUCCUGCAGACUAUUCUGGUUCAAUUGGUAUAUCCAUGUAAAUGCUUUUUUUGGGUGAUAUUUAGAGUUCUCAAGCUUAUUUUCUUUUCCAGUGACUCCACAGGUUCAAGUUUGAGCACCUCAUUAUAUAAUGUUAUAUCUCUUGCGAGCAUCACUCAAUUGUCUUCUUUGUUUACUUUAUAAUCUUUACAGUGCUUAUUUGAAACUGGAAAACGUAGCAAGAUGCAGCUACUAGACAUUUUCUGUGAAGCCAGCGAUCCUAAUUUGCAAAUAUCUUCUAUGACUAGAGGCAUCCCUAUUACAGGAAAACUGGGCUCUGGCAAAGCAGGAUUUAUUGCUCAGGCAAUACAUAGAGUAAGGUUGUAGCAUCCUAGAGAUUGCUUUUGGCUUACGAAUGAAUAUUGCUUCAUAGCUGAACUUUAUGUGUUCGUCAUUACAUGUUUGAACAAUACCACUAACUAUAUAUUCUUUGAUUAUCAAACUUGAUUUCGGGAAAAUAUUAUGGAGGUCUCUGACUUAAAAAGGAGUAAGAUUUAUGUCUCAUAAGACGUUCAAUUGAUCACCAACCGUCUCUAGUGCAAGUGGCAAAGGGCUUGGUGGUUGGUACGCGAGGUCUCAAGUUUGAAGCCUAGUUGCUUCACAUUUCCAGCUAAGUUUAUUUCUAGAAAAAAUAAACGAAGCGGGUAGUAUGCUACCUUUCUCUCUCAAAAGAAAAAAUCGCUCAAUUGGUCAUCUAAAUACCGCUGGAGUUGGAGUAUAGGACAACUACAGAACUUCCCAUCAUCUCAUGGUAGUAAUAGUUAAUGAUAAGAUCACUGAAGUGAAAACUUAUCCACAUUACUAAGUCACUAUGGUGCCAUCUUAUGUUGUACCGCCCUUUCAUUGGUGCCAUCUUGUGAAGUGAAAACUCAUCCACAUUGCUCACUAUGGUGCUCGCUAUUUUCACCAUUAGGUUUCCAAUUUGGGUAUGGCGGAUGCAAAAAUUGUCUUUGGUUGAUUAAUAUAGGAAGUAUUGUACUCUUGUUUUUUUUGCCCUUAUUACAUUGCUGAUAUCUAGGAAUAUGUUGGCGAUUUGUUAUAUUGUCCAGGGAAUUGCCCAUCGCCUUGCUUCCUCACGUGCUUAAAAUGUGGAGUCUCCAUAUGAAAGACAUGAAUGAGGUACUAUAGAUGUUAUUUUCCCAUAUUAAAAGUGGUGUUUAUUGUCAAUAUGUUAGUAUCCCUCUUCUCAACAUUUUAAAAUUACAAAUCUUACAAAUAUUUUUUUCUAUCAACUUUAGCCCAGUUGUGAAAUAAUGUGCUAGAUCUCUUGAAUGGAAAAAGAAAGAGCAAUUCUGGAAUACUUGAAUAUACCAGAGUCAUUACAACGGUGUCUUAGUAGUCUCUCUGUGCACUUUCUUUAUUUCAUUGAAUCAGAUAAUGAUUGGAGUACCAAUUGGGAAUAUUUGUGCUCUUCUAGUGACUGAGCCAACCUUAGAUCCAAAAGAUUUUCGAUAACAUAAAAGGAAAAAAAAACCUACCAAAGUUUAAAGAUUUGUCAAUUUUUCCCAAUAUUGAUUGAGUUGAAGGCUAUUACUAAUAUGGUCUCAAGUAUAAAGAUUUCUCUGUAGAUUUCAGUGGCAGUUAAGAUUCAUGGUCUUCCUUGCAAUGCCGUAUUAUAGUGCUGAUAUUUCUGUUGUAUUAUUGACUCCUGUGUAUUAAAGCGUGAAUAUUCUUCUGAAAAGAUAUGUUUUUGAAUGUUAUAGCAGGAAACUUCACGUAAUUGACUACAUUAUGAAUUUCAUCACAUCUUGACUGGAUUUAACCUUUAUAAUAGGUCAUAGAUAAAGUGAAAGAACUCCAAUCAAACAUAGCAAGUGGAGAUGGUGGCCAGCUCUAUAAGGAAAAGUGGACAGACAUUCACAAGUACGAGCAAGGCUUUAAUUUAUUCUCUCCUGCAUUUAGGGAAUUUAAAUGAUCCAUGUACUUACGGGUUUUCUUUCUAAAGUAGCUGCACGUAGACAAGUUGUUCUACAAGUGGUUGUGUUGUGAAGCAACAGUCUCAAAUAUCAAAACAUUUUAUUUGAGUAUUCAACAGUACUUGAUCAGUAGAAACAUUACAUGUUUUCAUGCGACAGGAGGCCAGUAUACUUGGGUGCAAGAAAGGGAACAGUAUCAGUAAAUGAUAAAGCAGCUAUGUUGUUGGAUGACAUGGUCAGGUAGGACUCACCUUUAUCGUGUGUGCAAUUCGAUUGGAGCAUUUUCCUUGUAGAUUGUACUGGUCUUUCUUCAGUACAGGCUAUACUAUUUUUCGCAUUUUAUGCAAAGAGAGAAAACUUGAGAUUUGGGAAUGGUUUUUGCUAUCAUCAUUUAUCCAGUAUUCCAGUGUUCUUUUUAUUCAAGAACCAGUUACUAAAUAAGCCUGUGUAUGAAUAUUUCCAAGUAUCUGAAAAAAAUUGUCGAAUUGAAUCUCUAUAGAAUUCGGUGGUUUUUACCUUAAAACUUUCCUGGUGGAGUAAAUUUUAUCUUUGGCUAUCUGUGUUGUUAUACAUUUUCCUUCUCUAAGAAUGCGGACAAGAAUUUUAAAGCCAACUCUGGAUACUAUAUUUGGUUUAUUGAUUUUUUUCCUCUCAAGACUCACUAAGUUUCAAAUUAUUAUAUGUGUUUCUAUAUAUGUCCAAAAUACAUUAAAAUUUCCAAAAUGUAAAUUGCUCUUCCAUUAGCUUAGAAUACCGGAUUAUAUAUGUAUAGCAUUUCCUUGUGUUAGUGAUUUUGCAAAAUAUUGUUUUUAUUGGAAAUCAAUGUUCCACAUUUCUAUAAAUUGUUGUUUGAAACAGGAAAUAUUUGACCCCUAUAGAGUGUGCACCUUUUCAUGAAAUCAUCUGCUUCGGACAUGUUGAAAUUCUACAAUCAGUAAGUCCUUUGAUCUCAUGAUAUUGAUGGUUUAACAUUCUCUUUACAAGGAUUGAUUUUGUUGUUGAAUCGACGUUACUAAUUAACUCUGUUCUUUGCUUGCGGCACUUUUUUUUUUUUUUUGCAUUCGAUAUCUGCUGCACAUAAGGAAAAGUAUGGCUUAAAUGGUCAAUGUUCUUUCCUUCAUUACCCUUUAUUGCAUUACAAGCCUAUGCUUGUGUCUUUUCUAUGUACUACUAUGGAUCCCCAAAGAAUACAACUUUUAUAAGUUGUUGAUGUGUUGGCAUGCAUGAUAUGGAAGGCUUUGAUUGGGUCGUACACAUUGUUCAAAAUGCUACGUGGGUUUGCCAGCACAUCCUAGGCCAAUAAAGGGAACCUUUUUUGGGAACCCAAAGCAUUGCCUAUUGUCUUAUGCAUAGUUAGUUAAUUCGGAUUCGGCAAAAAUUCGGUACGGGUAUAAUUCGAAUAAAAUCCGCCUUUUAAUUUUUAAAUUCGUUAAAAAAUACGGCUAAAAAACGGAUUCGGUAAUUAUUCGGAUACGUGAUUUAUACGGGUAUUAUACGUUCACCAAUUAAAAAUUCGGGAUCAAAAAUUCGGCUAUAUAUUAAAUAUAUAAUAAUUAAUAUACUAUAUAUAUUAUUAUUAUAAUUUUUAUAUACAAAUUAAGUAUAUUCAUAUAUUAAUAAUAAACAUAUAUUAAUAAUAUAUAAGAUUUAUAUAUUUAAAAAUAUUAAUAAAUAAUUAUAAAUUUAUAAAUAAAAUAUCAUAUAAAUAUUUCUAUAUAAAAAUAAAAAUAAAAAAAUAUAUAUAAUAAAUGAAUAUAUAUAUAUAUAUAUAAGAGGGAGGUCCACAGGUCCACUGUGGACCUCCCCUCAUGCGGUCCACGAGGUGGAAAUGGCCUCGUGGACCGCGUGCACCAUCCAUGCCUUAUGAGCCCCGAUUUUUUUCCUGUUCAUCUUCUUUUUUUCUGCCGAGGCGAGACGGGAUCCGCAGCGUUGCUCUCGGCACCGGCGAGGGCGGCGGAGGACGACGACGACGUGAGCGGUGACGAGACAGGAUCCGCAGCCGUGGCCCUUGCUCCCGGUGCCGGCGAGGGCGGCGGAGGACGACGACGACGCGAGCGGCGACGACGCGACCCUCGGCCGAUCGCCGAUUUUUUGGGCGAUUUAUUCGCGAAUCGCGAAUAAUUCGCGAAUAAUUAUUUUUGAGGAAAAAAUCGCGUUUUUUUCCUAAUUUUUUGAAAAAAUACGGGACGCCCCGUUUAAUUCGUAUUUUUAAAUGUACGCGAAUUAUUCGCGUAUUAAUCGCGAAUUAACUAACAGAGGUCUUAUGUAUCUUGAACAACAGAAAAUGAACCAUUUUAGGAGUUGCUCGGUGAACUCUGAAAGAAACCAUGGGAUGCCAUUAAAAUUAGAAGAGAUUAAAGAGUUACGAUCAGCAUCCUUAUCCUACUAGAUUCAAGAGCUUGGAUGAAGUCAGAUUAUAGGUUAUCUUAUUCAUGGCAAUUCCAGGUCAUCUUCCAUGUGUCUCUAGUAGGGUUUUUUUUUGUCCUCAUUCAAUUUUGUGAUCCGGCAAAAUUUUCCUUAUUUUGCUACUAUCCAUCUCAUCUAGUGUCUGGACCAUUAUCUUUUGUCUUCUGAUUUUGUACUCCCUAUUUAAUUCUAGCUUGUGAUCUCCUUUCUUAGAACUUUGUGUCAGUUCUGAUUAUCUGACCAUAUGUCUAAGAGGAAAUGAUUAAUUUUAAAUGUAGGCAUUAAUUGGAGAUACAAGGAGGAUAAUUCAGGUUGAUCUUUUGAAGCCUCAAAAUCAUCUUCGGUGCUCUUGCUGCAAUGGUGAUGAAAAUAUUGUAUCACCAACAAUGCAUGAUACCUCAAUUAUGUGAGCAUUUUUGUAUUUCUUGCAAAUCUUUUACACCGUUUCGAAUAAGCUUCCAGUGCAUAUGUAGUUCUUUAAUGUUCAUCUCACGCAUAUGUAGUUCUUCAAUGUUCAUCUCACUGAAUUCUGCGUAGUCAUACCUUAGAUAUAUAGUAAUGAGGACCUGAAUUACGUUUAUUUUUCCUAGUCUACUGAAAUUCUAUUGUGCUUUGGUCAUUCUCAAAAGAAGUGUUUGUUGCUAUGCUUGUGAUCACUGAUAUGGUAGAAUUUAAAAAUUAUUAUGCAGGUACUACCUCUCUCAAGAGUAUGGUGAUGUCAUUAAUCUUCAUGAUUGGUACCAAAUUUUCAAAGUGACAAUUAGUACUCCUAGCUCAAAAUCCAGAAAGAGAUUGCAUAAUUCUCCAGCAUCCAAAAAACUUAAAACCACACCUACAGAGAAUGAAGCUGAGAUCCAGUAUCCUUUGGGUUUUACUGCUUUUCAUUCAGAUUAGAGGGCAUUCAUCAUUAGACACCGACAAAAAAAUAUGUAGGAAUAAAUGACUUUCAACUUAUUUGUAAGUGGUUAGAAUUUUGAACUCAUUCCGUAAUAGUAUUUUGUCGUUCCUGCACAACAGUUAUCAAAAAGUUGAUAUUGCAUUCUCUAAAUCCACUUUUAGGAAACUAAAACUUCUAAUUUAAUAAUGCCUAUUAGGUAUCUUUUUAAGAGCCUCUUUAUGUUUAUAUGUAAGAUAGAAUAGGAUAUGACAUUCAUAAUUUACAGUAGUAUCUAUAUUACUUUAUGGAACACUGAUAUGUAGUCCAAAACCGACGUUUGCUAACUGGAUACAUCAACUGGCUAUUGGUGAAAGAUGGAUUGUGAUCCUUCAUAUGAUGUUUUUCAAGAUCAAGGUUUUGUAGGGCUGUUACGGAGCUCCAAAUCACCGGGCUUCUUCGGAUGCCGAGCAAGAGAAGGCCGGACUUCGUCCAGAGAGUUGCAUUUGGUCUUUAGGCUUUUAAAAUAUGGUAAAUGUUUUCAUCCCAUGAAAGUGUAUAUCAGGAUAAACCAAGUAAUGUAUUACUUUUGGAGUUUGUCAGUGUGGUUUCUCCUAACUUUUCAUCGCUUUGAGUAAUUUAUUUCUUAUUAAUACCCAAAUCUAUCGCAUUUUUUGGUAUUCCAUAGGGUGGUGAUUUAUAAAAGCAAGGAAUUUUCCUUUGCCAACAUUUGAAUACUUGCAAAGAGCAGCUGCAGAGGAAUCAGUCGUUAAUUCGCAAGGCACGGGCAUAUGAUGCAUCUCCAUAUUCCCAAAGCUUGAUUCGAUUUGGGCAUGCAUUCCGCCCCCGCUGGUGACUGUCGUGAAUCCUUGGCUUAAUCAACGUCUCAGGCUUUCAACAGGCCAACAGGUCACUCUUAUGAAAAACUAUGCAGCGUGGCUUUUCUUCUUGUGUCUGAUUCUCUUUGAAGCGCUGUUAACAUGAUAUUUAUUUAUUCAUUUAUUUUGAAACAAAGCCCGUAGAAAGAUGAUGGUUUAUUUAUGUUAUGACCAAGGCAUGGCGCCUCAGAGGAAGGUAUUAUUAUUAUUAUUAUUAUUAUUAUUGUAUACUAGCACUCUUACUUCGGUAUCUCUCACUGUUUCUUAUGUAAUUAAUGUAGAUGGAUUCCCUAAUGGUUAUUAUUUUAGCCACACUCAUAUGUCGACAAAUUAGGAGCACACAUUGGUGGUAUGGUUAUAGUCAAAAGAAGAGCCAAAUUUCCCGUCGUUUCGAACACUGAAUAGACCAAGCCGUUGUCAGUGGGCAUGGCACAAAUCAAGCCUACGGGUAUUCCAUCAAAAUGUAUGUCCGAAAAUAUAGAUGCAUACAAAGUAUCUAGCACCAUAUCCCUAGAAACGUGUGUUAAAUUUAGCUGUACAAAGAAAUCAUAAACAUCAAAUAUGCAACAAAUGUAGUGUCCAUCGAGCAACAAAAAAGAAAAGAAAAAAGAAAUCAAACAUUAUGCAUGAUGUACUUGUACUUUGACCUCAGAAUAUAAAAAUGCAUUUUCUGCGAACCUAUAUUUAUAUCUAGAAACAUGGGGUAGAAGAAGUCAAACCAAUUCCAUGCAUUGAUUCCACCCUAUAUUCCAGGGCAUCACCGAUGACAUUCCCAUUUAGAGGAAAACACACACACACAGUAAAGAACGCUGCAACUACAAAUUUGGUCUAAAAUCACAAUGAGAUUUCUCUUCAUACAAGCAAAUGAAUCCUAGUAUUACCUAACACAAGUAGGUCAGUUUGAUUCUGAAAUCGGUUCUAUCGUUCAGAAACUACCAUUCCUGAAAGAAAGAUUUCACACAAGCAAGCCAGACUGAUGGAGCCUAAGGAGAAAGAAACUAUACACCAAGCUCAUUUGGGACGGCAAAACAUAGCCCAACACAAAAAGUUUAAACAUGAAUACUAACUAUGCCGCAAUGCUAAGAAAGUUCCUAUAAGAUAUUAGGAACCUGGGAGGCAAGCCUGUGCUGCAACUCCUUAAUCUUCAAGCACAGCUCUACCUUCUGCUCCUUGUAGCUCUGAAGCAAGUAGUCCUUCCCUUCAAUCACUUCCCUUAACUCCGCCACUUCCCUCUUCAGCAUCUCAACCUUCUCUUCAUCCCCUCUAACCUCCCCACCACCACUAAAACAGUGCAAAUCCACAUCAUCUAUGUGGUUAGCAUAUCCAUUCACAAAUCCAUUAGCAUGCACUGGUUUCUCUUGCGAACCCAUCUCUGCCACACAGUGGUCGGCGAUGGCUUUUCUGAGCCGCUGGAUCUCCCUCUCAGACUCGAAGAGGUCCGUAUUUGCAGCAUCGAUCUGAGACUGCAAAUCAGCUGAAUGGCUCAUUUCGAUGUUUAGGGAAUUGCGGAGGUCCACGAUCUGUGACUGCAUCUCCAUUAUCAUCUCGUCCCGUCUUUGGAGCUGUUGCCUUAGCUUUUGAAUCACCUCUCGCUUGAUGUAGAUGUCUGAUCCGGAUUCUGAGACACAUGGGGAUUCUGAGCUGUUUGAGUGAUGGAACGGCUUUUGAGGUAGCCCUAGGCGAUCGGGUGAAGGUGACCACAUCACUCCGCUGUCUUUGUUGGGCUCUUCAGUUGGGAUCUUUACUAAAGGAAGGGAGCUAUCUUCUUCCUUGGACAUUUGACUGGUGGGUACCAGCUUUAUGUUUAAUGCAACAUCUGAAAUCAUUAUGUCAUCACAUUACCUUUUUAUUCGCAAAUCUAAAAAUUAGAGCUUCUAUUUCACCUUUAUUCAGAGAAUAUGGGAGAGCCGCUAUAUCAUAUUUAUUCUAUUUCUUUCCUGGAUUAACAGUUUAAGAUCAAAAUAGUGAAGUCCAAGUAUAGUUAUUUUCCUUCAUUUUUGUGUGUGUAAAUAUUUGCAUGCACCAGGACACAUGCAGGUAAAGAACAAAUAAAGUGGCAGCACAAGUAUUUGAAAAGAGAAAGCAAACACACAAAAUGCCAUCUAAAAUCUUACUAGGACUAUUUCUAAGGAAGACAUUACUUUUGAUAAAGCCACACAUUUGUGUUUGAUAACACUUUCUUGGAAGUACCACCUCUACCACCCACCAAGUAUAUGUUCAGUACAGCUUUUUCCUAUACGCUUAAGAUCAAACACCCACACAGCUGCUAAAGGAGUAUAAUAUCACGUAAAAAUGCGAGAAGAAAAAUUGAUACUUAAGCAGUUCAAAAAUACAACACCUGAGGGGCAAUGAUAACAGCCAUCUUCCUUUGAAGUAUAACAAUAUAAAUUUGAAUGCAGUUGGCAAGUUGAAGCCCUCCGCCUGGUUGCAGAUUUUCCCCUCUCUGGUUAAGUAUGUUAAUAAAUAAUAAGUAUAAUAAGAAGACACAAUAAACUUCUUACUUCAUAAGGUGUCUAAAACGGCUUGACCAUUAGAAAGAACAAUGUAAAAUUGGAUAAGACCUUUUGUAGCAUUAUUGGAACUAUUUGAACGACUGUUCUGAAAGAUCUGAUUCAGUUUGCAUCCAAGCCUGAUAGACAAUGUGCUUAACAAUGCGCCUCCGGCUAGAAGGACCCAAUUUGGUCCUUCUCCUUGAACACGCUCCAACCGCUUUGCUCUCUGAAUGGUCCCAUUUGCAUUCGGUUUCAUCUUAAGGGAUCGGUGACAGGUAUUAGAAGCUCAACACUUUACAAAGUAAUCCUGCAAGGAAAUAGAUUAUUAGCAAGUUCGAGUAAAGAAGCAAACUAUACAACAUCUAUGUUUCGCGAAUAUCUAAAUAAUAAGUUUAAGGCAAACAUAAAAGAACAGAGAAAAAUUAAGAUUUACUGUCCAUAUAUUUGCUACUACUGCGUUCAAUGCAAAAACAAACCAAAUUUGAAAUGGAAGAUUUUGAAAAAAAAAAAAACUAACAUUACACGAGCAAGAAAGUAGAUACAAAUACUAUGUUUUGCAGAUUUGCCUUCCAUAACACAGAAACAGAUCUUCAGGACGCCCUAUGGAACCUAAAUCCAAUUUUAAGCUAAUUUCGCAGAACAAGUACUGAAUCGUUCACAGUGAGUCACUCAAAACAUAAUAACCCCUAAUUCAAACGUGCAAAUGCCAUUCAUCUCUUACCCAGUCCGCAUAUUUCUCUUUUUUUUUUUCAUUUGAUAAACCCUAGAAAUAUUCCACUAUAAUAAAUGGCAUAAAAUAUUUCAAAUAUAGUAAAGCUCCACAACAUCACCGCAAAAUCCAAUGCUCUCCGAUCAAUUCAAAAUUCCCCCCCCCCCCCAAAAAAAACCCCUAAAAAAUCAACAGAAAUGGGAAGUAGAAACAGCAGUAAAUCGCACAGAAAAAGGAAAAUAUCGACCUCAUUCAACUGGAAUCGCCGAAAAGAAUCCGAUCCCUCCUUAUUUCAAAGAAGAAGAAAACGACGACGACGACGACGACGACGACGAUGAAGAAGAAGAAAAAGAAGCAGCAGCAGCAGUUUCUCUCGCACACUAUGACUACAGCCCUUUCCUUUCUCCUCCUCUCCUCUUUCUUACUUUAAUCUCUUCCACACUACUCUCCUUUUUUUUCCCUCGAGAUAUUUCCUCUUUUCUCUUUAUUCUUCUUCUUUUCUCUUUUUUUUUCCCCUUUUUUAAAAUAAAAAAUUGUGAUCCUUAGGUUUUGGAGAAGCGGAGUGGUAUGAGAGAGAGAGAGAGAGAUAGAGAGAGAGAGAGAGAGGGAGAGUGGGGAAGGGGAACCCUCGUCUUUGGGCGUUCGAUUUGGCGGCUUCGGGUGCGGGGGAAGAGAGAGAGAGAGAGAGAGAGAGAGAGAGAGGGGUUCGAAAAACCGUGCGGCCGCACCGGCACGUGCACGUCGCCUAUCACGUGUCCACUGCGACAGGCGAAGCCGUGGGCUAACGGAAAAUUUUCUUUUUUUUAUUUCUUUUUCCCGAUCGAUUUUUAUGUUUUUAAUCUUCUUUUAUUAAGAAAUAGAGAGGCAAAACAAGGCCACAGGUCUUGGAAUAAAUUAUCAAUAAUAUUUUAUUUGAUAUACGAAUUUUUUUUAUUAUAAUUAAAAACUAGACCUAUGAUCAAGUCUCUAUAAUUAAAUACAAUUUUCUAUCUUCCAAAUAUUUUUAAAAUUAAAAUAAAUUAUUUUACAGAGUCAGAAUAUACUAUUCUAUCAAUUUGUGAAUGUCGGGAAUUCUUAAAAAAAAAAACCUAUAUUUUAAUAGGCUUCUUAAAUACCGCUGCAGGAAACAAUAGUUUUCGUGGUCAAAUGCUAUUUUACGUAUGCACACUAUCAGCAAAUUGCCUAUUAACUCAUGCAAAGAAGAAUUAUUUAUGCUUUAAUUACUUAUUAAGUGUUGCCCCCUAAUUAGACUUAAAAUAGUGAAAUCAUUUGAAGAGGUGCAACAAUCAACUAUCAAAUGUCAAGUGAAUCAACAAUAAAUUACAAUCAUAUGAUACCAAGCUAAAUUAUUGUAAGUUUGAGAGUUCAAUCAAAUUCAUCUGUGAUUUAAGUGAAUGAAACAUUAUCUACUCAUUUAAUUUAAAUUCCACAUUAUUUGGUCAUAUAUGUGAGCCAGAGUACUGACUUUUUAGCAUAUUUUGGUAGCUAAUUAACUUAAUGUUUUAGGUGGAGAACCUAAAAUAUAUCCCAUGGGAGAAGAGCUGAAUAGGCAAUUAAAAUUCUUAUCAGAGAAUAAAAAAAAUGGAUUAAAGAAUAAGAGAGUUCAAAAUACCCUCAAAUCUUUGGAAAGUCAAUGCGAUGUUUUAGUUGGCAUGCAUGUCAUUUAGUUUGGAACUUUUCUUCUUGAAAUAAAUAUAAGGGGAGGGUAAACUUAUUCCUACCAUGAUCUUGUCAAAUGCUGUAAUAACUAAGAAAGUCAACUCACUCAUCGUUGCAUUUAACACAGUUUCUCAGCUAAUUGAUAUAAACAAUUUAAAUAGAAAUAAAAUCAAAAGCUCAAAAGCUAGCAAUCAACAAAAAAAAAAAAGAAAGAAAAAGGGACCUACAAUUUAGGAGGUUCCGGCUGGUACAUUUUUACCUUAAAACUUCUGAACUAAACUUUUUUUUUUUUUUUUUUUUUUUUUUUUUUUUUUUUUUUUUGUUUCUGAAUGAGUUAGGAGGUUGUGUAGUGUGCUAUUUGUAAUGAAUUAUGGAUUUCGAGGCCAAAUCUGUUUACAAAGGGAAAGAAUUGAGAAUAUCAUAGAAGAUAUGGUCUUAAUUUUGGGCUAUUAAGAAGUGAAAGAAUGUAAUCACCCAAUUGCAUCUUUUUAAGUUCAAGAUAGAGUGCAUGACGCAGGAUUAAUAAACUACUUGGACCUGGUUCUUCACAUCGGACCUCCACCACGCCACUAUCUAGUGAUCUGCCAUGUCAUAAAAUAUAAAUGAUCUCUUAAAAAUUUAAAAUAAUUCACAAAUAAUUAUAUUGAAAAAAUUGAGGUAAGAGAGAGACUAUAGACCUGGUCCACACAAUAAUUUCUUGGACUGUUGGACUCCGACGGGAUAGAGACCAACAAGCAACUUCGUUUACUCUAUCAACCCUUUAACUUUCAACGCAGAAGCCACCAAUCGAAUAAUCGAAUGCAUGAGAAAAAGAUUACAAAAAAAAACAAAGUACAGAAAUGGUUCAGCUUUGUCAAGUUGUAAUUUGACAAUGAAAGUGUUUUUUUGUUAAUUAUGUUACGGAUUGUACGAUCAACUGCGCCGCGCCAAAGAAUAAAAAAAAUAUAUUACCGCCAAUCUCUUCAAUAUUGUUGAUUUUAUACACUGCUGUGCAUGAUGUGACCGUCCCUAGAGCAAGUGGCAAAGGGCUUGGUGGUUGGUAACCGAGACCCAAAUUCGAAUCCUAAUUGAUUCACAUUUUCAGCUAAGUUUAUUUUUAAAUGAAAUAAACAAAGCGGGUAGCGUGCUACCUAUCUCUCUCAAAAAAAAAAAGAAAAGAAAAAAAAGAAGAAGAAGAAGAAAGAUUCUAAUCGAUUUAUUCAUAUAAUUUAAAUACCAAAUCAUAUGGAGUGAUUAAUAAUGGAUCAGAUCAGCAGCGUAUUAAAAUAUGCCUUUAAGCGAUCCGAAACAUUGACCUCGAUCGAAAUAAAAAAAAAAGAAGGAACAAUUAACUACCAAGAUAAAUCGAGUCUAUUUGAAUUUUGUUGGCAAUACGUCUAAUUAAUGCCUUUUCCAUACUCUGGCAUGACGUAUUAAUUAAAUCUAAUGGAUUGUCCACCAACAACAACGAGCUCACAAAUAGAGGCCAAAGAUCAUACAUUGUCCAUCGAUCUAACCUUCCAUUAAUUAGUCCUAAAGCCUCUUAGUUAAUAAUAAACUAAUUAAUCAUCGGCUCUAAAACAUGUCUUUGAUUUUCUUUCUUUCUCUUUUUUUCUGCUCUUACGCUUCGAUCGCCGCCGGGCAACACGGCGGUGCGAAAACAGCGCAAACAUACAUAGUUCAUGUGCGCCGGACUCCCGGCUCGGCGAAGUUCGCCUCCUUCGCCGAAAAGGCUCAGUGGUACAAAUCCUUCUUGCCCGUCGGAGAUCGCCUCAUCUACUCGUACGGCGACGUCGUCAGCGGUUUCGCCGCCAAGCUGACCGACGAGGAGCUUGCGAUCGUGACAAAGAAAGUCGGGUUCGUCGACGCCUGCCCCGACCGCAUAUUGUCUCUCCACACUACGCACACUCCGAGCUUCUUGGGGCUCACAAGAGACGCCCCCGGCUUCUGGAACGACGCAAACUAUGGCCGCGGAGUGAUCGUCGGAGUGCUUGACACCGGAAUUUCGCCGAGGCACCCCUCUUUUAGCGACAACGGAAUGCAGCCACCGCCUCCCAGAUGGAAAGGCCGGUGUGCGUUCAAUGCAUCGGACUGCAACAACAAGCUCAUCGGCAUAAGAGCUUUCCUCCGUGGCCUCGAUAACGCCACGAUGUCGCCGUACGACGACGGCGGUCACGGGACCCACGUAGCUAGCACUGCGGCGGGCAUGUUCGUGGACAAGGCCGACGUCAACGGCCUCACCAACGGCACCGCCUCCGGAAUUGCACCCUAUGCUCACCUUGCCGUCUAUAAAGUGUGUCAUCAGAAUCGCUGUUCGCUUUCUGAUGUUUUAGCCGGCAUGGACAGCGCCGUACAUGAUGGGGUGGACGUGCUGUCAUUGUCUCUGGGCGGAUUGUCCCUGCCAUUCUAUGACGAUGACCUCGCGAUCGGCGCGCUAGGAGCGGUUGAAAAGGGAGUCUUCGUAAGCUGUGCCGCCGGCAACAACGGGCCGUCAAGCGGCACGACGGAGAACGAGGCGCCCUGGAUUCUGACGGUCGGGGCAAGCACGAUAGACCGAUCCGUCCGGGCAACUGUGGAACUAGGGAACAAUAUUAGUACAUUCUACGGGGAAUCUUUGUACCAGCCGGACAACUUCAGCGCAAUUCCGCUGCCGCUGAUCUAUCCGGGGUUGCGCGGCGGUUUGAAGACACCUUACUGUGUAAGCGGCUCGUUAGACGGUGUCGACGUCCGGGGAAAGAUCAUAGUUUGCGACGCAGGUGCUGUUACGACAGUGGCCAAAGGGCGGGUGGUGAAGGCGGCCGGAGGGCUCGGCAUGAUAGUAGCUUAUCCUCAGGCCGUCGGAUUCAGCACAUUUGAAAAUCCGCACCUGCUUCCUGCAUCAGGGGUUGGUUACACAGAUGGUUUACUCAUCAAAGCAUACGCCAUCACCGCUUUGGCUCCCACGGCAUCGAUCCUCUUCGAGCGCACGAUUGUCGGGAUGAAGCCGGCCCCGGCUCUUGUUUACUUCUCGUCGAGAGGCCCAAAUCAAGCUGACCCUAACAUACUAAAGCCAGACAUCAUUGGCCCAGGGGUAUAUGUUCUCGCCGCGUGGCCGUUCCAAGUCGGAUCGUCGGAUUCAGGAAGCUACUUCAACGUAAUCUCCGGCACGUCUAUGGCGACACCGCACCUCAGCGGAGUAGCCGCUCUUUUGAAGAGCACACAUCCAGAUUGGUCUCCUGCUGCCAUAAAAUCUGCGAUCAUGACGACCGCCACUUUGAUCGGAAAUGACAACAAGCCGAUAGUUGACGAGACACGGGCCCUGCAGAUCUCUUUGGGAUCGGCGCCGGCCACGUAAAUCCUUCGAAAGCAAAUAACCCGGGCCUCAUAUACGACAUCAAAUUCGAAGACUACGUUCGAUAUCUUUGCGGUUUAAACUAUACGAAUUCACAAGUUGCAACUGUUGCUCGUCGCUCAGUCGAUUGUUCUCCACCGUCGGGGCUAUCACCGGACAAAAUCUCAACUAUCCUUCAUUUGUAGUGACCCUGAACGUCGGCAGCAGUUAUGCUUCGCAGGUCUCGCGAACAGUUACGAAUGUGGGAGCGCCGAAUUCAACAUACGCAGUCGAAACCUGGAUUGCAGAUGAAGUGAAGGUGGAAGUGAGACCUGCCCUGCUCUCCUUCUCACGAGCUAAUGAAGAGGCGAAGUACUCCGUCACCUUCACGGGCAAUAGCAACCUCAGUGGAAAGGUUUUCCAGGGUCAUCUUACUUGGGUCUCGACGGACAAAAGUAUUGUGGUUCGUAGUCCUGUGGUGAUUGCUAUCGUGUGAGAUUGUUUAAUAUGUUUUCAUAAAUCUGAAAAUUGUUCGCUUAUAAUGUAAAGCAACAUCAAAUAGCGUGAAUAUCGCGGCCACGAGCGUGCGUUUCUCUCCUCUUCCAUUCUUUUCUAUCCCGCAUUUUUUGGUUACGGCGAUAGCAGGUGUCCCGGCACCGACUUCAUUCUGCAACAACUCGGGCGUAAGAAGUAAACUCAUCACCGACUUUAGUUAACAAUCGUCGGACCAAGGGACACGUACAUUGGGCCGGCCCUCUAACUUGUAGAAUUGCGGCAUGCGGACCUCAAAAUGGCGGUCAUUUGUUUUUAACAGUGAAUUUGGAGUCCGAGCCCAAGUGUAAUAAUGGAUAGGGCCUCCUGAAGCAUCAGACGAAGGGCCAAAUGGGCAUGUCAAGCGUCGGAAAAGGCUUAUUAGGCCGUGAGCCGUGGAAAAAGUCGGGUCGAACCCGGGCAGGAUCCUAGUGAGCCCAAUAUCUAUCAGUGAAAGCCCAUAGUCGGUUGGGCCCGUGACGAACCGCCUUAUUCUCGUCGCUCCCACCUGGCUCGCUCGCUCGCUCUCUCUUUCUCUCACGUUGCAAACCCUAAAUACAUUCUCUCUCUCUCUCUCUCUCUCUCUCUCUCUCUCUCUCUCGCGUAGCCAAAAUGGAGAGCUUGAAGCAGGAAUUUGUGAGAUAAGGAUAAUCGGCUUCUUCGGAUCGCACUGUAAUUUCUCUCUCUUUCUCUUUGUUUGAUCUCGAUGUUUUGGCUUCUGUUCGUAUUUUGUUGUUAGAGUUCUCCGCUUUCGAUUUAUCUGUAGAUGUAUGCAGUUUGUAUGAAGGGAAUCCCCUUUUAUCGAUAAUUUUUUCUUUUUAAUGAUAUAUGUCCUUCCACCUUAUUCAUUUGCUAAUUUUUUUCGUUUUCCCUUUUGGUUGAUGAUGUUGGAUGAUAGCUUCUGAUUCUAAUGUGUUGUGGAACUUGUAAUUGCGUUCGAAUUGGGAUGAAAUGGUAGACGAAUCCUGUGAUUGAGUUUUGAUACAUACUUAAACCGUUAAAAAUUACAGAGAGAGUUGUGGAUAGUUUUCUUGUAAGGCACGAUUACGGACUAUGUAUUUAAGGUGUCUGAACAUGAGAAUCGAUUCAUUGUACAGAAGUUGACCUAUAAAUUUGUCCAAAUUCUUAAGUUCCUUUUUUUUCUCCUUCCCGCUUUGCGGAGCUUGACCACAGGUAGGCUCAGUUCCAAAAGUCCUUAGUUUCAAUAUAUGUAAAAUAGCAUAUGGUAUUGGCGUUUGCGAAAUAAUAAGUGAACUAUCGCCUUCUCCACAAAUUCAUUGCCUUUCCAUAAAUUUAGCAGAAAUCCUGCUCUAUCUUUUGGUUCUUUAUCCGGUAGAAAAUCCUCAAGAGACUAUUUGUCUUCACUGUCCAUAACUCUCUAACAAAGAUCUGCAUUAAUGAAUUGCUUUUAUGGCUAUUAUAAACCUGCAUAUACAGUGUAACUUUUAUACCAGAUUAGGUGUAUCUUCCAAUGGAUCUCCAUUUUCUUAGAGUUAUGGUUUAAUUAAGGAUGUUUAUAAGAUCUGCUUCAAUUAUAUAUUUUCUGUAAAUUAUCUCCUGUUGGACAGAUUGGGCGACCAUAACUCGUUAUGCAGCAUGCCGAUUAAUAUUUAGUGUCUCUUCUUUUUUUUGCCUGUUGCUUAAUGUUUUUUGGCCGUAAUGAAGUCAGUAAUUUUCACAGUAGAUCACUGCUUUACGAAAUGGUAGGUGCUGGUAUCAUGGAUCUUUCUGAUGCACCAUCUCCCCAGAAAUCAGAUUUUAAGCCAUCAUUCCGCAAGCCAUCGAAUGAUAUAGCUAAUAGAAAGUACCGCCGCCAUUCCCCUGCUGCUGGGUCUGAUUCAUCUUCAUCUGGAGGUUAGUAGCCUUGUUCCUUUUCUUAUAGUUUGCCAUAUUUUGUCGUUUGGAUCGGUGGUGGUGCUAUCAAUUGUGGACAAUAGUUUCUACAGUAGCAGUGUGGAGCUAAUCUUCUCUACGUGAUUGAUUAGGUUGAGUUAGUAUGUGAAUUAUAAGUUGAUGUCUAGUAUCCUGAAAUUGUCUUUGCUAGAUCUAUCAAGGUGUUCACAAUGCAAGAACAUUAUCAACACUGAGGCCUCAUUUAGUUAUGCUUGUGAAUUCUUCUCCCUCCCUUUGAAUUCAAAAUCACAGCAAUCGAAUGCUGUGACAGAUGGUGAAUUGUUUAUGAUUGUCAUAUCUUUGUGGAUUGUCUAAGAACAAAGGGCAAAACUUUCUUAGUAAUUCUAUAAUUGAUUCUUACUAUUUUGAAAAAGAUAAGCUUGCAAGCUAAUAACAAUUGACAAGAAUAGAGAAGUCCUUCCGGCCAAUGCAUUCAAUUGCUUGGGAUUUGUGUUUAGGAAUCCCCCCCCGCCCAACCAUCCCCCAAAGGAAAAAGUAGAAUAGCGAAACAAGGCCUGAGGUCAUGGUGAUAACCUAUUCAUUUUCUUUCUUGAUCUAGUUCUUGAAAUUGCGUUGUUGUUGAUUGGUAGUUCUUAUUUUCCCUCUCUAGUGUGCAAAUGGACCCUUUUUUGUUAUAUCACUUACAGACAGUCUGAAGCAUGAGAGGAGCCGUAGUCCCAUUCAUCACAGGAGAGAUCGCCCUCAGAUCUCCGAAGGUCAGCGUAGAAAAGAGGAUGGAAGAGAGACAGAUAAGGAAAGGAGCUAUAAGCAAUCCAGCCGGGCCCACGAAUCUCAAAGACACUUUGACAGGUACGGAGAUUCUCACGAGUCCCGGGCCCAUGAUGAUUACAGCCGGCAUCAUCGUAGGCGUGCUGAUGCGGAUGAAAGGAAUUGCUUAAGAUCUUCUCGUUCUGAGCGAGAAUCAAGAACUGAAACCCGUUCCAAUUAUAGAAGCCGUGUUGAUGACGGUUAUGGAGAGAAACUUAGUAAAAGUAAAGACAGAGAUGUUGACGCUCAGGUACAUCAUAGGUAUAAUGAAAAAGAGACCAAAAAAGCGAACUCAUCCAGAGACAAUGUCAAGAGUGGAGAACGUGACCGGCAUAGAGAGAGGCGAGUUGAAGAAGAAAAAAGAGAUCAUUAUAGGGGUAUUGGGAAAUGGUCAAGUGAAAAUGGCUCCUCCCGAGAGGAAAUUGUUGGGUCUUCUAAGGAAGGUCAGAAGAGUAAAAGUAAGGAAGUUAAUGAGCAGGAGCAUGUGCGCAAGAGAAAGCAAAAUGACAGGGAAAGUGAGUGCUACCUGGAUAGAUCGUCUAACAUGUCUGACAGCCAGCCUUCAGCAGCAAAAGUUAAGCUUGGUUCUGAACACGGUGAGUAUAUUAUCAAGUUUUGUUUUGUUUUGUUUUUUUUUUUUUUUUGUGGACCUUCUUGUGCUUUAUUUUCUUUCUUCCUUUCUUUUCUUUCUUUCCUUUGUGGUGUUGGGCAUGCUCUAAUGUUGAUUAUGUUUUCUUGUUUCAAACUUCAGGAAAUGCUGCAGAUGACAAACCAUCCUCGAGUUCGAAGCAGGUUAUGGAGACAUCAGUCAAAGAAUCUGGGAGCUCAACUGCCAAUCACGUAGGAACUUCAGAGGACCUCAACGCAGCAAAAAUUGCUGCUAUGAAGGCCGCAGAGUUAGGUUGGUACUGUUUGCAUCCAUCUAAGCAUUUUUUAAAGAACACGAAGAUCAACAAAGUGAUAGGAAAGUAGAGUAAAGAAUAGAAAGACUGCUUGCUAUUAAGAUAACUUCUUGACAACCAAAAUGGACAUUUUUUCCCUUUCCCUUUUUUUCCCAUCAUACUGGAUGAUGAAUCUUAAUAGUUUACUAGUUGUCAUGUCCUUUUCUUUACUUUCAAGCUAAUCAUUGUUGUGUUUACAUGGACCGGCCAUGUGCUGCAGUAAAUAAGAACCUUACAGGGUUUGGAGGGGUUGGUGGGGGAGUUGGAUGCUUGUCUACCGACCAGAAGAAAAAACUGCUGUGGGGCAGUAAAAAGAGCAGCUCUACUGAAGAGGUAAAAACACAUCAUCUCUCUGAAUCUAUUUACCCAGUUGCUUUACUAAAUUCUAGAUUAGUGUGUCAUGUUAUGGCCCUCUUUUCUUGUUUAUAUCAAAAUGCAGCAAACUGCUAACCGCUGGGACUUGAAUCUGUUUGCUGAUAGAGAGCGGCAGGAAAAAUUUAACAAACUCAUGGUAAUUUCCUGGCUCCAUCUUUUGCUUUUUCUUCCUAGCAAUAAAAAUGAAAAAAGAAAAAAAAGAAGAAGAAGAAGAAGAAAGAAUGAUUAUCUUAUCACCGUUUAACUGUAUUUUACUUUCAUUUUCUUAUGAACUAAUAAUCUUCAGUUAGUAUUUCGUCCAUUACUAACACCUCUUUUAGAGUCUGAGGUUGCCUUGGUACGUAUGGCCAUUUGUAGGGUGUGAAGGGAAACGUGGACCCCGAGAGCAAGCCGGACAACAAGGAUGGGAGCCUUCAAGCCAAGAAGCGGGAGGAGCUCGACAUGGAUUUGGAGAAGCAAUACACCGCCGGCCUACGCCGGAGAGAUGGUCGUACUGUAGGUCUCGGUCUGUAGUUUUAUUGCUAUUCAUGCUUUUAAACAUUGAACACUAUGGGCACAUGGUUUUGGGCCAGGAGCUUCUUGUAUUUACACCCUUUUGUUGCAUGGAGAAUAUGUGGUUGCUUUGGAAACCUUUUGUAAAUGUGCCUGGUUAUUCCAAGGGCCCGCAGAGUCAGGGCCACUCUGGCCAUGGUCCCAGAAACAUCGUCAACUUGGUUCAUGCAUCUGAGCUUAUGCCGUUUUGGGUACCCCUUAUUCUGUUGUCGGGAGUUGGUGUGCAUUACUAGUUUCUGAAGUUUUAGUCAAACUUAAUUUGGUUUUCUUAACUUUUAAAUCGGAUAUUUGACAUUCCGACUUUUGAAAUCGAUUUGCUUUGAUCCUUGCCCUCGCCUGUUGGUAGAGGAAAAAUAACUGGUUGCAUCUAGUGCAUUCCUUUGUGCCAGCGUCAUGAUUCAUCGAUUUUUAAUCUAUCUUUUAUCUAGAAGUCAAUUAGUCGAACUCUUUUUUGAGAGGAAGGGCUUGAUAUAUUAACAAAGGGUUAUGGUAUAUUAUGUUGAGCUUAUAAAUUCUUUCACAAAAUGAAAACCUUACUUUAGAAGUGCGGAAUUUGUUGUGCAAUUUUCUGUUCCAGCGCCAGUAGCUCCCGAGAAGUUCAGGUCUUGUAAAGCUUAGUUCCUCCUAGUAGUACAUGAUUUGUAGCUGAUUAUUAUCUAUCUAAUUUGUUGAUGCCACUAGUUCGGAUUGCGGUGGGCACUGUAGAGUAACCUUCCCAGUUCGGGUAGGGCUUAUCCACUUCGGUAGUUGUCUUAUCUGGAAAGGGAAAUUGCAUUGCUGACUAAAUUGUUAGACGUUUUGUGGUUUUGCGCACCAACCAUUCAUCAGACAUAAUAUAUUAUAUAUAUAUAUAUAUAUAUAUAUAUAGAGUUGAGCUAUGAUACUUUUACAAGUAUCACCAUCAUGGUGCUAUUAGUUUUUUAGCCAUUGGAUCACUUUUUUGAUUACAAAUAGCCCGUUGGAUCAAAUACUAUUCCACCUACGCAUCACCUACCACCACCUACCCCAUCAUCUCAACCUCACAUCUCUCCAUCCAAGGGCUAAAAACACACAAGUAUUCACUUGGGUGAUACUUUUACAAGUAUUCUAGCCCUACUCUAUAUAUAUAUAUAUAUAUAUAUAUAUAAUAUAUAUAUAUAUAUAGGCUAUGGCUAUUAUACUAUUAUGAGUAUAUGAGUAUUGGAGCCCUACUACUCAUAAGUUAUUUUCGAUAGAGUUGAGCUAGAAUACUAUCGAUAGCAAAUGGACUCCGUUCCACCCAUUUGUUUUCGAUGAUAGAGCCUCCAAAUCGACGAUCAGCAUCGUUGAACAUGAUCGAUGCCACUCGAAGUGUUUAGAAAUCAAAUUUCCAAAUCUUUUCGACAUCAUAUUGUCUAAUGAUCAAAGGGUUUCAAAAUUUGUAAUUUUUAUGGUCGAUAUGAGAAUGUUUUUUCGUUUAAUGGCGUAAAGAUAUCAAAUUAAUUGAAUUUUUGUUUUAGAAAAUUUUUUAAACUUUAAACAAGAUCUAUUACUCUUGAUCUUGUUACAAGACUCCUAUCAUCAUAUUUUUAAAGAAUAUUCAUUUUUGGCCGUUUAUUUUUGUGUUCACUCGAUGGAUAAAAAACAAUAUUAAAAAUGUAUGAAAUUUGAUUUCUAAAUAUUUUAAGUGGUAUAGAUCUAUUCAACGAUGCCGAUCGUCGAUUUGGAGCUCCAUCAUCGAAAACAAAUGGGUGGCAACAGAGCCUGUUGCUAUCGAUAGUAUUCUAGCUCAACUCUAUAUAUUAUAUAUCUAUACUAUAUAUAAAAGCACGUAUAUUCAAAUUUGGGUAUUGUCGACAGACUCAUUUUCGUGCGGAAAAAUUAGCGCCCAUUUUCUCUUUCCGUACGAAAAAUUUUAAAUAUAAGAAUAAAAAUAGAAUAGAAACAGCAAUGAUACGUAAGUUCUCUAUAACAGAUUAUUGAAUGUGAAAAUUCUAAAAUAUAAAUUUCUAUUUUAAUUUCAAAAAGUAAGUUUUCUAUAACGAUUACGGGUGUGAAAAUCCUAUAAAGAUAUUUUUCUAUUUAUUUUAAAAUAUCUUUUUUAGAUUAUUAUCUAUUUAAUUUCAAAAUAAUUUUCUUUGUAAGAUAACGGUAUUUAUUUUUCUAUUUAAUUCAAAAAUUUAUUUCCUAACAGAUUUUAUUUUUCUAUUAAUUUCAAAAUAAUUUUUGUAUUAGAGAUAUUGUUAAAUUAUUAUCAUUUAAAGCAUAUCUUUCUAAUAGCGUGAUUUAUUAUUUUAAAUUUUUAGAUACAUAUUUGACAAUCAUAUAAAAUAUGGCCUAAAAUUAAAAAUAAUUUUAAAAAAAUUAUAAAUUUUCUAAUAAUUAUUACGUGCAUUUGCACGUACAUUUUACUAGUAUAUAUAUAUAUAUAUAUAUAUAUAUUGUGCGGCUAGGAUGCUUAUGGAAGCACGGAGGGCUCCGUGCUUCUACUUUGUUUUCGAUUGUUCGGACUUUCGAAUCGACGAUCGGCUCCGUCAGACUUGAAUCUAGAGUAUUUGAAGUAUUUAGAAAAUAAAUUUAGGCGAUUUUUCGAUAUCAUUUGCUAGUGAUCGAAGUGGCUCAAAAUCAACGGCUGAAAUAAAAAAUCUUACAAAAUAUGAAUGAUAUGACAUUAAAAUUUUAGAUCAAAAUUAUUGACUUGUUUUAUAUGGUAUAAAGAGAUUUUCUAUCAAAAUCUCAUGUGAUUUGAUAUUUCUACACCUUUAAACUUGCAACCGGCUCACUUACGGCCAUUAAAAUUAUUGAUUUUGAACUCCUUCGAUCACUAGGCAAACGAUAUCGAAAAUCAACAAAAUUUAUUUUUUAAUAUUCAAAUCUCUAGAUCAACUCUAACGGAGCGAUCGUCGAUUCGAAAGUCCGAAAUAUGAAAACAACUUGAAGCACGGAGGGUCCAUGCUUCCAUAAGCGUUACAGCCAACUAUAAUAUUAUAUAUAUAAUAUAUAUAUAAUAUAUAUAUAUAUAUAUAAUAUAUAUAUUAUAUAAUAUAUAAGCGUAUAGAAAUUCGAAAUGACAGACGGAAUCCAAAAAGAAUAAAAUAAUAUUCCCUACGAAUGAUUAUGAUUAAUUGUUAAAAAUAUCUCAAAUAAAAAUUAACGGUUAUGAUCAUCUAUUAAAUAUAAAAUAAUAUUUUCUACGAAUGAUUAUGAUUAAUUUGUUAAAAAUAUGUUAAAUAAAAACGAACGGUUAUGAUCAUCUAUUAAAUUUCUACUACAUAUAAAAAUCUAUUCCCUAAUAAAUGGUUAUGAUCAAUUUGUUAAAAAAUAUCUCAAAUAAGAACAGUUAUAAUUAAUUCUAAAAAAAAUAGCAUUUGCAUGCAUCUGUAAAUUCAAUCCUAGAACGAUAUAAUCAUUUGUUAAAAAAUAUCUCAAUUAAAACAAAUGGUUAUGAUCAAUUUGUUUAAAAAAGCAUUUCUAUUAAUUUAAUUUUACAUUAAAAUUAAAUUGAGUUAUAAUUAUAAAUUUAAUUUAAUUUUUAGAUAUCAAAUUGAAUUAAAUUAAUUUUUUUGUUACAGUGGAUCAAAAUUUAAUUUAAAUUUUAAAUUAAAUGUGAAUUAAAUUUUGAUGCUUUUUAGUUUAAAAACACAUAUUUAAAUUUGAUUCAUCAAAAAUCAAAAGUAAUAUAAAAUAUUCGAUGUAUAUAAAUAAAAGCAAGCACGGUAGAAUUAUAAAUAUUUUCUAAUAAAAUAUAACACAUUAAUUUAUAAAUAUAAUAUUUUAUUGUAAAAUUUUGGAUAUUAUAUAAUGUACAAAUUAUAUUGAUUUGAAAUAAAUUAUAAUAAUUUGUUACGUGCAUUUGCCACGAUACAUUCAACUAGUAUAUAUAUAUAUAUAUAUAUAUAUAUAUAUAUAUAUAUAUUAAUGUAAUGCUAAUAUAUGUAUUAACAACUUCAUGUAAUAGUUUCGAAAGAGCAAUGCACAUGAAUUAGAUAAAAAAAGUAUUAAUUAAGAACUGAAUCUAAUGACAAGCUAAGGAGUCAGUCAAAAAGGAGUGACGGCCCACGGAUGAUUUAGUUUGCAGGGCGGCGUGCCCGUUACGACUUACGACCCCAACGGUCGUGAUUUCACCGGACUUUGCCCACGUUACUGGUAAUAAUGUCCAUGUUUUUCCGCCUGCCUUUGUAUCUUCUUCUUAGAUUGCAUAAAUCCGCUCCCACCCUCUUCCUCUCUCUCUCCUCUCUUAUUGAGAAAGUGAUAUAUACAGAGACGGAGAGAGCUCCUCCUCUUGUUUUUUUUGUUUUUUUUUUUUUUUUUUUUUUUUUUUUUUUUGUUUGGGUUUUGGUUCGUCCCUCGCGUCUUGGUCCCUACCAAGUACCAACUCCCCACGUCCCCAUCUCACACUCGCCGACCACCGUCCCCACUCCCCUCCCAACGCCAACAGCUCCUCCCCACAAAUACAGUUGUCACCGCACGUGCGCCAUGGCGUCCGCGCCACGCACAACCUCGCCACACGUGCGCCACCCCCCCCCUCCUCCAAAACCCUUCUCCCUCGCUAGCCCACUACGUUACUGCUCUUUCCCUUCUCGUAAUUAAAUCUGCCCCCUCCAUCCUCCCCGUCGGUUUCUCUUCUUGCCCCCAUUCUCCUCUCUUAUUUAUUGGCCAUUUAUUAACCCUCCCCAAGACCAACCCUACACACACACUGAGACCAACCCCAAAAAAUAAAAAAUAAAAAAUAAAAGAUAAGGAAAAGCAGUGGGAAAAAUAGAAGAGAAUUCGCUUAUUCUUUCCGAACGAUCAGGGGGAAUUUAUUUAUUUAGGGUUUAUUCUGGGAAAGCUCGGCUUCUGCUUUUUGUGUCUUGUAAGGUUUAAUGAUUUGAAAGAGGAGAGCGAGGGGGUGGAGAAAGUAAGAUGGAGGCACUUAAGAAGCAGGCGAGUAAGCUGAGAGAGCAAGUGGCCAAGCAGCAACAGGUGAUCUCAAUUCCCUUUUAAUUACUGUUAUUUUCUCCCUUUUUCUUUGGUUUUUUUUUUUAAAAAAAAUUAAUUUGGAUAUUGUGAUGGGCCUCGGUUCUGAUGUAGUUACGUGGGAAUUUUGUUGAUGGUUAGAUCAUUUGAUGCGUUCCUCAUAUGUCUUGGUUUAGUAAAGGGACAUUAGUGUUACUCUCCUGUGGCUUUGUUUCGAACACACGUAUGUGGGGACUGGGGAGUACCUUUAUAUUAGGGGAAUUACGAAGUUUUUUUACCACUUGUAAGGAUGCAUCUUCUUAAAUUUUUGGCAUACUUCGGUAUAAUUUUCCCCAAGAACUUGAGAUAUUCGCCCUUGAUUAGAUUCCUAGACCUUAUAUCCAUCCACCUAAAAGACAAACCCUUCCUUUUACCGCCUUAAGCACUAGUGGAUAAAACAGUGGGUUAAAAAAGAAGUGUUGGUUCUUUUUGAAACUAUGGAAUUUUGAUCAGCUGUGCUUUACUCAUCUUUUUAUAUGAUCUUGUACGCUCGGAAAUCCAGCUUGCAUGAGUGCUUCCUUUUGCACUGUGAAGUUGUUCAUGGCAAUUAGCUAAUCAUUUCAUCUAUCCCGAGGAGGCAACGCGCAAAUUAUCCACUUCCAGCGGAUUUAAUUUGUUUGCAGGCGCCGAUUGCUUCUUGGUGUAGCCAUAGUAGACGUAAGCCGGAGAACAGAGCGAGCGAGGCAAGAGGAGAGUAGAGCCGUAAGAAUAAGAUGUGUAGGACGGCUGAGGGGGGCAUUGGUUAAUAGCGAUAUCACAUUUGACUAGAUAGUUUUGCAGUUCUUUCGAUGUUUGACUAGAUAGUACAUCUUUGUUUUGCCGUUCUUACACAUAGAUUUUCUUUAAAUAUUGUGCAGGCAGUUUUAAAGCAAUUUAGCGGACGCUUUGGCCAUGAUACUGGUCUUAUUGAUGAAUCUGAGCUUCAGUGCCACCAAAAUCUUCAGAAACUGUAUAACACUACAAAAGCUGCAAAGGUACUUGUUUGUCACAAAUGUUUAUGAGAUUAAUCAGUUGUGCUUGUUGAUGUACCGAUUGUAUAUUUUGCUUGAACUUGUUAAUCUUAUAGCAUCUUCAACGAAAUAUUGUACGAGGUGUAGAAGGUUUUAUCGCUGCUAGCACAAAGCAAAUGGAAAUAGGUAACUUGUUUUGUUUGAUCUUCAGUAAAGUUAAUUUGAUGUCCUUUAUUCUUGAUAUAACUUUGCUCUACAUUUUCUAGUGAAAAGAUUGGCCGAAGAUUGUUGCAAGUAUGGAAGCGAAUAUCAAAGUUUUGGUUUCGCUCUGGCGAGGGCUUCUCUUGACUUUGGCACUUCGCAUAGUUUGAUGGAAAAAGAGAGGGAGAGUCUUCUUAGAGCUCUCGGGGAUCAGGUUGUAAAUUGUAAUGUACCUUAUACUCAUUUAAUCCUGAAUAAUAGCACAGGCGACUGUCGUUCUACAAAUCAUAGAGAGUACCUAAAUUUUUUUUGCACUUCAAAUCACAAUAACUAACAUAAAAUUAAUCCACAGUAUGUUUCAUAUGAGAUUGGGAAAAUGACAUUUGGUGUUCAUAAGAUAACGUCCUUGUGCAUUUUCAUAUCUCAUGAUUCAUGAAUUUCCAAAUUUAUGAUGUCAAUUUUAAAUUCUGGCUAUACUUUGUAUGAGCCAUCUGAUUUUUGCCAAUUAGGAGAUGAUUGAUGAUCACAGAUUCAAGUUUUCACUUGUCUUUUAUUCAAUCUAUCAUUACCUCCCUUUCUUCAGUAUUCCGGUCUUCUAACUUUUGAAUUAUCUCACAGGUUUUUGAACCUUUACGAGCAAUGAUAAUGAGCGCUCCUUUAGAAGAUGCUCGCCUAUUAACUUACCGUUACGAACGGAUUAGGCAGGAUCUGGAAUCUCAGGUAAUACUUUGGUGAUAGGUUGAUGUUCUAUGGAAACCUCAACACAUAAAUAAAUUAUCCACUAUGUGCUUAGACAGCUGAGGUGUUGAGACGAAGGUUGAAGUCCAACGAAGUCGGUGCUAAUGCAGAGAGUGCUGCGAAACUACAAAAUGCAGAAUCAAAAUUAUCUGAACUUCAAAAUACAUUGUCAGCAUUAGGCAGAGAAGCAACUGUUGCUAUGGUGGCAGUUGAGACUCAGCAACAGCAGACUACUUUUGAACGACUUCUUGCAAUGGUGAUGUUUGUUUCUUUAAUGUGUUUCAAUAAAUUAUAUUACAAGUCAUGAUAAUUUGUUUUUUUUGUUGCAUAUUUAGCCCUAGAAAUAUGUGCAAUUGCUAAAUACCCCAAUAUUGGCAGUUGGAUGCGUGUCCCCGAAAACUAUAUUUAUUUGUAUUCAUGUCCUGUAACGGUAUAUUUGCAAAAUUCAAUUUUUAUAGAUAUCCCAGCAGGGCAUGUGUGAAAAUAAGCAGGUUUCCAGGGGUACUUGCACAAUUUUGCACAUUUUCAGGGGUGCAUAUGCAUGAAACCCUACUUUUCUAUUAUGUUUUGCUUUCUUCCUCUAAUCUGUGUUCAACUUUAGUUAAUUUUCUUUUUCCCUUUGUAUUCUCCUCUCCCCACAUGCUUUUGUUGCAUCCGGACUUCAAUAUAGGAAUAUUCUACUUGACUUAUUCACCGGCUUACUUUCCAGGUUGAUGCUGAGAGAGCUUAUCAUCAGAAUGUUGCUGAUAUUUUAGAGAAACUCCAUCAUGAGGUAUGCAUGCUUAUUAGCAUAUGCAUUACAGUUGCAGUAGAACAGAAAGCAUGACCAGAAUUCUAAAAAUGAAAAUUCUUCUUUUACUGGUGAUGGUAAAAUAGUAUCCAUGUUUUUCAUAGAUGGUCCGAGCAAAGCAGAGUAAUGGGCCAUUUUCACAAUCAACAGCAGCUGAGACCAAUGUGCGGACACAGAGUGUGAACGAGGAUCCCAGGCCUAGCAAAUCUGAUGAUCUCGCUAGGAAUGGCCCGCCUAAUAUGUAUUUUGUUGCUGAGGUACGUUCCUAAAUGGUAAGCUUAUUGAGCUUUUCUUUCUGACUUCCGUUUGACCUUUUAUUUCCUAAACGUAUGUACUCUUUCCUCCUCAGCAUGUGUCUGCGCACAGGGAUGGAUAUUAUGUAUUUGUUUAGCUCUGUAGCUAUUGCUUAACUACCAUAACUAUGUUUUAAUGUAAUAGAGUGAUGCCCCUUUUUCUGUCCUCUGUAAUAUCGGAUCGUGUUUUUAAGGCUAUAAUUUCUUCAAAUUCUAGUAAAUAUUUUCCAGAUAAGUGGUUUAUCAACUUACAUUUAGAAAUUUAAAAUCAAUUACAGUACUGCUAAUAACUCCUGUAAUGUGCAAUUAAUCGUUUGGCUUCAGGAGUUUCCUUUCAGUAAUCUUAAUACAAAGUGUCACAUUUUCAUAUUUUAAGUUCCCUCUUUCAUUGAAAAUUCCAUAUUACUUUUUCUGAACUUACACAAUUUGUUUCUAGUUGUUUAGCAGGACUCAUACCAACUGGCAUUCAGUUCCUAGGGUCAUUUUCCCCUUCUUGUUAGUCAGUAGUGAGAAUGUUGAAUGUUGUGUUGGUAUUGCACCCUUAUGGCUUGAAUGGUUGAAUCAAAGUUAGAGCAGCUACCAUUUUGCAGUGCUUCUUUGGAGCCUUCUUACACUCGACUUCCUAUUAGCAAGUACCAUAUUUAUUGUGUGUUUCUACAGUCCUCUUUAAGGUUUAAACUAUCUCUUGGAUUUUGAUGUAGAAUGCUGGCUUAUAUCGAAUCCUGAGGUGUUAUUGUACAGUUCGUUUUCACAUACUUGAUUGAAUUAAUUUAGAUGCUGAAUAUUAGGAUCUGUAGGAUCUGUCAAUUGAAUCUUAAAUCUUAAUUCAGAAUCCCUAGGAGGAAUUUCACUUUUACAUGACUAGGAAAUCUUUUAGAGUAGGGAAUAAGAGAUUCUAAUAUCGGGGUUAAUUACGAACUAGUUUGACUUCAGUGGGAAAGAGUGGCAGGAAUUACAGUGAUGACUUUAUGGCUGUCUGGAAUUUGCCAUAUGACUGGCCUCAUUCCAGCCUUAUGCUUUGAUCAGCCUAUGAGAUUCGAAAGUUCUAUCCGGCUUGCAAUGUUACAACAAUGUAAAGUUGAUUUCUUGAACUUAUUUCAUUUUGUCAUGCAGGUUAUUCAUCCAUUUGAUGCUCAGGCUGAUGGCGAGCUCAGUAUAUCAGUAGGCGAUUAUGUUGUGGUCCGCCAGGUACAUGAAGAGGUCAUAUAACUUGCUUACCACGACCCGCUAGUAAAUCUACUAUUUUUAUGUUUAAGUCUACUAUUUUUAUGUUGCUUCUUACCCGUCUACUAUUUUUAUGUUGCUUCUUACCCAGUACCGUGCAAUACAGUUUUGCUAUAUUGCUGAAUUUUUGUGGCGCACUAUGUGAUGGCUGGUGCUGCAUUGAUACUCUGUGAUAGUUACACUAAAUACAUGGAAUGGAAACAAAAAGAAGUCUCAGGAGUGACGAAUAAAAUUUUGAAGUCCUCAAAGAAUGCAUAGCCGCGCUUAGUGAUAUGUAAAACUUAACACAUGUAGCAUGUGACGAAGGCUAGUUGAGUCUGUUGAAUUCCGCUACUUAAAUCUUAACAUGAAACUCGAAGCAAAUGUUGAGGAAGAAUUUCAUGUUCUUCGUAUAUAAAUUAAGCUCAUGCAAGAACUUGCAAGCUCUACUAGAUGCUGCUUGAAUGAAUCUUUCUUGAUGAGAGAGAAAUAAAUGAUAUGAGAUUGAAAAAUAAUAGCUACCUCACAACAUGGUAGUGACCUAGCACUGUGAAAACAAAGGCUGCUGGGAUUUCAUAAGCGCUUGGCGAGCAACUUUGUAAAACUGCACCGCAAAUACAACACGUAAAGAAAUAUACUCUAUUUCUCAUGAUCGAGACAUAAUGAGUCUUACCUGUUACCCAUUCUGCUUUGCAGGUAGCACCAAAUGGAUGGUCCGAAGGUGAAUGCAAGGGAAAGGCCGGCUGGUUCCCAUCCGCUUAUAUUGAGCGGAGGGAUAAAGCCCCGGCAAGCAAGAUUAUUGAACCCCACCUGUUGCUCGCUUGAUCUUCUUCUUCUCAUCUUUUCCUUGCUUUUCCCACUAUACGCUCUACUGUACAUUUGUGACCUUAAUUCUUCAAGCGACUCUCUUCCAACUUUACACAGGUAAAGGACUCUCGCAAUGUGAAAAAUCUACCCUUUUUUGUGUUCUGUAAGUUGUGUAGGUGUAUGUAGUUGUAUCUAUUUUUAUGUUUGUUUGUUGUAAGUGAAUCUCAAGGCCUCUUCGUAUUGACCAAUUUAUUAUAUAGCUUUCUUCUUCUUCUUUUUUCUCUGUGUUUUUUUUUGUCCUUUCAUAUGCAACAAAGCUUGCCUACAAUAUGAAGGUGGGCUUAGCAGAUCAGAUGACUCACCAAAGCAUACGAAGCAUGUGUUGCUGCUUCAUCUUCUAUGUUCUUUUUCUUGUUUCUCCUGCAACCUGUUAUAUUUUUUGUUUCUGAAAUUCUGAACAUUUUGCGAGUAAUAAAUAUUUGCUUCAUGUUGUCGUUGUAGUAAAUCAAAAUUGACAACAGAAUAUGAUCUCAGACGUUAGUGUAAAUAAAACGAAAAUCAAAGUUUAGCAUAAUGAUAGUUUCCAGAAGUAAAUUUAAAAUGAAAUAGAAGGUGAUAUAAAGCUACCGCGUAGGUUGCAACCUGAUUGUAGCAUUUUUCUGCGACAUGCUCGUCCCAGCUAACGUUUUUACAAAACCCUUGUCCAAGUAGGGAAAAACAGAAGGGUAUCGUCCCAUGUAGAUAGAUAUGGGAAUUAGUGCUCUUGAUAAGCCAACUGACUCAAAAUUUGAGAGCGAGAACGGUUACCUAAAAAAAAUAUACAUCCCAACUGCUUAAUUUUGGAAAAUUUUAAAGUAAAAUAACUUUUAUAAGGUGAUCGAUCAAAUUACAUUAUCCGUCAAGUGACAUAUUUAAAUUUUAAAAUAAAAAAAAAAAUUGGUGAAUUUUUUUGAUCCGAUCACAGGGACCUGCCCCAUUAAAUUUUGGUUCGGAUGACACGCUUGAUCUAUCUGUGGAUCUGGCCCGUGCGAUGGUCCAUGGAUCUACAGACUGCGAGCGUCGGCCGCACGUGAGAAGCGUCGCGUCCUCGACACUCCCCACAUCACUCGCCCCAUUGGUCCUGGUGACGACCCCCCAUCUAUUCCCCAGCGCGUCCACGGUCCACCCCUCUCCCCGUUCCCCUCUCACACUCACCUCUCUCUCUCUCUCUCGCUCUCACUCUCUCUCUCCUCUGCCACCGCUCCCCCAGCUCACCCCAAAAUCUAGGGUUUGUUCCGCCUCUCUGUAUCUCUGCAUCGCUCUCCUCCUCCCGAUUAUUAGGGUUUUGAUUCGGCAUUUGCUCGAAUUGCUCUGGAAAUCGAUCGAAAGGUACAAUGCAGUGUUCCUCCUCCAACGGUUCUUUCUUUUCUUGUUUUUGUUUUGCUUCUCCCCCUCCGAGCAAGUGAGUAAUCAGCGAUAAAGGCCGAAGUCCUUCCUUUUUUCGGGUUGUUAGUUGGAAAUUUCAUCUCUGUAACUGUGAUCUAUUCCUCGCGUUGUUGUACGGGUAAGAUCUGUGCUACGUAGUGGGUGCAAAUCGCUCGGUGGUUUUCAUUGUUGCCUCGUCUCUUAAUGUCGAUUGUAGUGAAUUCUUCUUCGUUUGUUCUAGUUAUGAAGGCGUUGUGUUGAACUAGAGUGGUAAUUUAUCCGUUGAUGUUAUUUUUAGUGGUUAUCGGCCAGCGAUAUGACUGCAUGAUGGAGAAUGGAGUAUUUGGGGAAGCAUGCCUGUAAGCGUUUCUCAGCUAAGUCUGUUUGGAGAUUCGCGAAGAAAAGAAGAGAUAUCCGCGAAUCGUGUGUUGGAUGUUCGUUUUCUGUUUGUGUUGACGCAUUAAAGUCUUGUUUAUUAUGUUAUGUGGAUGGAUUAGGAGUAUGAUUAGAUUGUACCGGAACCCUUAAUUUUGUUGCAGGGGCAUUGCUGCCUAUGUAAAGGUUAUGUAUGUAAUACAAAAUUUUAUGAUUCUUCUUGUGCGGUCCUAAUUUUCUGUGUGUUGAGGAUUAAAAUAUUGCCAGUUCUUUCACUCACUGAAUUUACAUUGUUUCCAGGUGUCUGUGCUGACUCUGCUUGUGGAGGUUAUGUACGUAAUGGUGCUUGUGGCUAUGCGCUAUUCAAAUGGUGUGUAGAUCUAUCACAGAGAACUAUGUGCAUCAUGCAGCACAUCAAGGUUUCAGGGGAUGGGUCAGUGUAAUCUUAUGAUGCAUGGCAAGCUUAUCGAUGGGCUCAUUUUCAAUAAAAUGGCAGAGACUUCUGCUUCUGCUGACUGUGCUAAUGCUUGUCAAACUUGAGACAACUGCUUUAAAUUCAGAAGGUAUGCAAUUGUUCUAUAUUUCAUUAUUCUCUAUCUUCGUCUGUGCAAUUUAAUGUCAUGAUUCUGAGAAUGAUCUCUUGCAGGUAAUGCACUUCUUAGUUUUAAAACAUCUAUUGUCGGUUCGGACGGUGUCUUUUUAAAUUGGCAACAAGAAGAUUCUGAUCCUUGUGGCUGGAAAGGUGUGAAAUGUGACAGCCACGCAAAGAGUGUAAUUUAUCUGUAAGUAAACCAGAAGAAUCUUUAAGCAAAGUGCAAUGAACUUGUCUGUGGAGUGGUGUUAUCUUUUUUGAGUUUGUUGUACUUCAAUGUCCCUGCUACUGUUUUAGUAGUGGAGUCAUUUUCUUUGGGGUAAAUUUUGUUUGAUCUCCUUGAACUAUGAGUUAAAUUUCUUAUAGGCCCCUAAACUUCAAUUCAUUUUGUGACGCAAACUGCGCUAGGUUAUUUAACAAAGUACUAAUCCUUUCAGCUUCCAUAAGAAUCGAUAUAAUUUUGAUUCAUCAUCACAAUUAUUUGAAACUCGAUUAUCUUCCCAAUGUUAUAAUGUGGGGUUGGAUUUUUAUUUGAAAUUGUCAAGUCAGGCUUCUUAUAAAUCUUGGACUUGUACCUUUUUAUCUAGUAAGCCAAAUUAAAUCUUAGUUAAGAUGUUACAGACUCUACCUUUAAGUUCAUGGGAUUUCUUUUCAACCUUGUGCUACUCGAUUGAAACACAAAAUGAAGUUUGAGGCAUAUUUGAGAUGAAUUGAUUCUGGCCGAAAAGUGAACUUUGGUCCAUAGUUAAAGGACUUUCUCUUUUUUACAUGCAGCUGUCUCUUUUAUACCACCUUUCAAAAUUCAAAGCAUGGUAUAAUUUAGCAAUUAGUUGUCUUACUCUUAUCAUUUGAGUUAAAUUAUCAGGGGCACUUUCUUUUUAAUUUUUCCUCCAAGAUUUCCCUUAUCUAAAAUAGUCUGACAAUUGGUUCAACUGGAACCACAUUUGGAGUCUUGAGGUGUACGGUAUACAAACAAUUAGGACGUAUUGUUCUUUGUUAGUUGGUCAACGUUUGGACUGUGUAAUUACACUCAUCAACUAAAAUCUGCUCUUUCUGUUCACAAUUGAUGGCGAUCAAUGCUAAUAAUUGUUUUUUUUAAGAUUAUUAUGACACUAUAUAUUUCAGGAGUCUAGCAAAUCACAAGUUGGUUGGGUCGAUACCACCGGAUAUUGGACAGCUAAAUCACUUACAAUUAUUGUAAGAAUUUUUCCAAAAAGUUUGUAUUUGCUUGUUUUUCUGGCUAGUUAUGUCAUUUCACAAUUCUAUAUUAUCUUAUUUCUAGAUGUUAUAUGCUUUUCUAGAGCACUUCAGGCAAACAGUUUAUAUGGAACCAUCCCUCGGGAGCUUGGGAAUUGCACCGAGUUGCAAUAUCUGUAAGUUUUCUCUUCGUGUGUUGAAAGCUGGUGGAACCUAUUCUUUUUUUCCAUCAGCUUCAUCCCCCUGAAAUUGCAAGUAACACUAGCUCUUUAUCUAAUACUGUUAUCAUUACCUAUACAGCCUUAAAAGUGAUUACUCUAGUUUCUAAAGUCAUGUGUUUCUAUGAUUUUAGGCUUUGUUGUCAUCACUGCUGUUUCCUUUUCUAGUUCUUUAAGCAGUUAUUUUUAGCCUCUCCUGUAUAUAAUUUGCCAUUGUAUUAAGUUAACAUCAUCUUGCAGACAUAGCUAAUAUUAUCGAAUUUGCUUGUAGAUAUUUACAGGGGAAUUACUUGAGUGGAUUUAUACCCCCGGAAUUUGGUAACCUUGUGGGACUCGAGACAUUGUGAGUUUACAUUUUAAAUUUUUUCUAUUUGGAUUCUUGCACUAUUUAUUAUGGAUUGGUUGACAUGCUAUAGCUUUUAAUGCAUAAUUAGCUUGCUUUCUAUUUGUCAUUUCUUCUAUUUUGUUAGGGAUUUGUCGAGCAAUACAUUGAGUGGAUUUAUUCCUCCAUCUCUUGACAAGCUGACCAAAUUAAUGUCAUUGUGAGUAUCUUGUGUUGCUCCUGUGUACCUCUGAUACUAUUGCAUCUUGCCUUUUACCACUAAAUGCUAAUAUUUCUUGUCUGCGACAUUUUGUGCAGUAAUGUAUCAAUGAACUUUUUAACAGGAGCAAUACCAUCUGAUGGUGCACUCUCUAAUUUUAAUGGGACUUCGUAAGUGAUGUUUGUCUCUCUUCAGUAUGAUGUAUAAGAUUACCUAUAUGACUAGCUACGUACGACAAAUUAACAUUACAUGCUCACUUUCUAAAGCCUUUUGUGUUAAUUUGGUUGCUGUCUUAUUUUCAUGCGCAUGCUGCAUCCUACUGUUAGAGCUAAUGGUUUGGGCCAUAAGGUCAUUUUAUCUUUUCUCCUCUUUGAUUCUAAUUCAAGAUUCUUGUGCUUUAUCUUGGUUCUUAAGAACAUGGAAAGGUACAAAUGUAUUCAAGAAGAAGAGGUUUGCCUUUCAGUGUUGCAAACUUGCAAUACAUGCCCAUAAUAUAAAUUGUAGAGAAGUAGCAUGGUCUAAAGUUGAACCAAGUUUUAAUUGCAAAUUUGCUGGAAAAAUGGCUAGAAGGUUUACAAUACAAAGUUGAGCAGCAAAAUUUAGGGAAUUUUCUGUUAUUUCAUUUAUGUGGAACAUGCCUUCAUUGCUGACAAUUUGAUCGCCUCCUAUCUUUUCCUCACUACCAGUAGUAAAAGAAUGAAGUUUCCAUAUUGAUUAUUGCACAAUUAUGUUGACCUCCUUUCUAUAAUCAAAGCUCUUCAGGGAACAAUAUGCCAUUAAGGCAAUGUUGCUUUCUCAUUCUAAUGGAUAUUUGAGUCUAGAAUUAUGAAAGUUCAAUGUUCAUGCCUGCAGCUUCAUUGGGAAUCGUGGCUUAUGUGGGAAGCAAAUCGAAGUUGAGUGCAAGGAUGAUAAUCAGUCACCAUCAAGAGAUCCUCAGCAACCUUCCUCUGGUAGUUGGAACUUAGAUUGUAUUAUAUGUUUUUCUUACUUCGCUUUCGCUGAUAAAAUGUAUGAUAAUUUUGUCCAUUGAGGUUGACCUGACUUUUGAAGUUUGUUCCGAUAUAAACUAUUAUAAACUUUUAAAUGAACUGGUUUUCCAUGUGGUGGAUGAAUUAUCUUUUGCUAUCAUAAUUGAAUAGCUUUCUGGGUAUGAGAUAUGCAUGUUAUUUGCUUAUUCUCUCUAAACUUCUGCUGAAUUUUUCUCGGAAGACAAACUCUAGAGAUUCUGUUUAUAACGAUGCACUGCAUGCCAAUGUGCGAAGGAGCAAAAGACCACCUAGAUAUUUCAUCAAUAAGUUUGAGCAGAUAUCCUAACUUCUAGGCGCACUUACAUAUUAUUGAAUGAAUAUGCUUAAGCACCUCUCACAUGCUUGAACUCAUUUGUUUAAGUGCCUUCAUCAGUUAUUUUUUUGUUUUGCCAUCAAGCUAAACGUAACUGGUGAAUGUCAAUGCAGGAAACUUAGUUUAUAGAAAGCCUGGAAAAAAUUCUACUAGGCUUGUUAUCAGUGCUGUGGCAACAGUAGGAGCUCUGUUGUUGGUGGCAUUGAUGUGCUUCUGGGGCUGCUUUCUUUACAAAAAGUUUGGCAAAAGUGAUGUUCGUUGUCUCGGCAUGGAUGUUAGUGGAGGUACCUUGCUCGAAAUACCUGAAGUCAUGUGCCUUUUUCCCCUCUUGACUUCGUAGUAUAUUGUAACACUAAUUAUAUUUCAGGUGCAUCGAUAGUAAUGUUUCACGGGGACUUGCCCUACUCAUCAAAAGAUAUACUCAAGAAGUUAGAAACGUUAGAUGAUGAAAAUAUUAUCGGUUCAGGGGGUUUUGGAACUGUUUACAAGCUUGCAAUGGAUGAUGGCAAUGUGUUUGCAUUGAAAAGAAUAAUGAAGACAAAUGAAGGCCUGGACCGGUUCUUUGAUAGGGAACUUGAAAUUUUGGGAAGCAUUAAACAUCGGUAUUUGGUCAAUCUCCGUGGGUAUUGCAAUUCCCCUUCGUCUAAGUUAUUGAUCUAUGAUUAUUUACCUGGCGGAAGCUUAGAUGAAGUGUUACAUGGUGAGAUUCAUUUUUCUUCAAUUACUUAAUUGCUGUUUCUUGCUUUGAGUCCUGAACUUUUCUAUCUUAAAUCAUACUUUAGCCGGUUUCUGAUAGACUAUUAAAUAGAAUUGAGCUAGAAUACUUUUGGAAGUCGCCUAUUUUCAACUUUUUGGCCCUUGGAUCAAGAGUAAACAAUGGUGGGCCCCCCUAUUGUGCAUGUCUCCAAGGGCCAAAAAGUUGGAAGUUCAAAAGUAUCCUAUUAAAUAUAAUUUAUUAUCUUUGUUUAGAAUAAACUUAACAAUAUGUAUAAGUAAAUAUGGCAUAUAAAUAUGACGUAAUCAUAUUCUACGGUGUAUAAGAAUACUUCAUCCCAUCAGAGGGGGUAUUAAUUGAAAAGAAAAAUUACUGGAGGGGAAGGCUGCCGUAGGCACACAGUUAAUAUUGUAAUAUCUUUGUCUUUUGAUAACAUGCCACAUCAGUAGUUUGGCAGUUCUAUGCUUGGAAGUAAUAUGCCAACUGCAUUGUAACUUGAGCAGAAAGAUCUGAGCUCCUAGACUGGGAAGCACGCCUCAAUAUAAUCCUGGGAGCUGCAAAAGGCCUUGCGUAUUUGCAUCAUGAUUGUUCGCCUCGAAUAAUACAUCGAGACAUUAAAUCAAGUAACAUAUUGCUUGAUGGGAAUUUUGAGGCUCGUGUUUCUGACUUUGGGCUCGCAAAAUUGUUGGAAGAUGAAGAAUCUCAUAUUACUACAAUAGUUGCUGGAACAUUCGGUUAUCUUGCUCCAGGUAUGGCAUAAUUGAAUAUUUUUAGAUAUCAUAAGAUUUCAGUGUCAAAAUUAUGUCAUCCAUUGUAACUAUAAAUUUUCAAAGUCUGGACAUUUUAUAUGUUCUCCAUUCAUUUGAAUAUUUUGCUUAAUUCCUGUGAUCUGACAAAGUAGAAACUAAUGUUUUCAAAAAUAGUGGUGGAUUAGUUGUUUAAGUUGUAGGUUGCCUGGAGAUCGGAUGAACUUCAUUGCAACCUCUUAGGCGCGCAUAUUUUAACUUAAAUUGUUUUUGCUAUGAUUAAGAAUUUGGUAUACACCUUCCUUUUUUUUUCCUUCGGGUAUGAAGAGGGUUUAUUAGAUUUAGUUGCCUCAUGACUUAUAAAGCUGCGGUUUCAGGUUUCUUUCGUAUGUAGCUAUUUCUGACAAGAGUUAACCUGCAGAGUACAUGCAAAGCGGCAGAGCAACUGAGAAAACUGAUGUCUACAGUUUUGGAGUUCUGGUGCUUGAGGUGUUGAGUGGAAAGCGGCCUACAGAUGCUUCGUUCAUUGAGAAAGGGCUGAAUAUCGUUGGAUGGGUAAGGCUCUUUUUUUUUAAUGCUGGUUCUUUCUUUUGGUGCUGUUGGAGCCGACUAUACUAUUUCAUUAUUGGACCACAAGGUUCUUCGUAGAUUUAAGUAUUAUUAUAUCUCUGCUCGCUGGUCUCUAUGUCCUCAAGUUUUAGUUUAGAUAGCGUGAGGGGAUUGUCUGAAUAAGACCGCGGAUGGCGACUAAUUUCUGUUUGGCAAUAAAAUAUGCAGAAGCUAAUUCAACUGUAAUAGAUUUGACCUUAUCAGCAUGCCUUUCCUUGAGCAGUUGAAUUUCUUGGUUGCGGAGAACCGCCGAAGAGAGAUAAUUGACCCUAACUGCGAAGGUGUUCAGAUUGAUAGCCUCGAUGCUUUGCUCUCGGUUGCAAUUCAGUGCGUGAGCUCCGCCCCUGAAGACCGCCCCACAAUGCACCGCGUGGUCCAAAUGCUGGAGUCCAACGUUAUCACGCCAUGCCCGAGCGACUUCUACGACUCGGACUGAGCAAUUGCAUUGGGCGAUUCAUAUGGGGAUGAAAUGGAGAGAGUUAUAUCCUCUGGCGGGUGGGUGGUUAUCGGAGCCUCUGAUGAAUAAUGCAUGCGCUUUUCAUUCGUUUAUUCUUUACCUGCGGCUUCUGUAAAUGCUUCUCCCCAUGUUCAGCUUCCUUCAUUCAAAACUUUUUCUUUCGAGGGUACAUCGUCAUAUCGACAUCAUCUUGUUUUAUUAUGUAGAACUUGAGCUAGUCUUGGUGGUGGUGUUGUUUAAUUAAUGAACUAUUUCUGUAUGACUUGUACGUACGUUGUUAGCGGGAGUAAGUAAACUACUGGUAUAAUCGAAGAGAUGGCGCCUGUUCGUUUUAUGUAUGCCCAAGUAAACUACUGGUAGAUUCCCACCUACGUUGAAUGAAAGAAAUAAACUUUUCACUGUUGGCUGAAAAAGGCGGAGGAUUAACAGUAGUAUUGUUCUUUGAUUAAGCAACCUGCAUCAUGAAUUCAUGAUGGUAGUAUUUAAUACAAUUUUUUUUCAGUUGAAAAUUCUAUUUCUUUAAUAAAAACUUUUUUAACUAAAAAUUGGAAAACUCAUAGGUACCGUUUGGUUCGGGUAUAAGAUAGAACUGCUAGUUCCAGGGAUAGGUAUAAAUGUUGGAACUAGCUAGAACUAGUGUAUUUUUGUGUUUGGUUGAGUAUUAGAUUUGUACCAGGUAUAAGAAAAAUAGUGUUUGGAUGUAUAAGAUAGAAUAAGAGGAAUAAAGUAUGAAAGGAAUUAAAAAUAGGUAACAAAAAUUAAUUAAAUAAAUAAUGAAUUACAAU
RNAcentral lists this long non-coding RNA (81961 nucleotides) under Ananas comosus (pineapple). RNAcentral describes it as "long non-coding RNA (ACOM_LNC014320)". Lineage: Eukaryota; Viridiplantae; Streptophyta; Magnoliopsida; Poales; Bromeliaceae. The record is from RNAcentral.